This 70741-nucleotide long non-coding RNA is filed under the name Musa acuminata (dwarf banana). RNAcentral's name for it is "long non-coding RNA (MACU_LNC003620)". Lineage: Eukaryota; Viridiplantae; Streptophyta; Magnoliopsida; Zingiberales; Musaceae. The record is from RNAcentral.
UUAGAUGAGUCUUUGAGAUAAUGUUUUAGGUUAGUUUAUCACUUGGUUUCAUGGUAGUAUCAUAUAAGCAUUUGUUUGUGGAGGUUUUUGGGUGCAACAAAUUGUCUUAGAUCUUAUGUUAAGUGAUUAUUCAAACAUUGUGAAGUUUAUCUUUGUAUUUUAUAUUAUCUAUUAAGAGUUUGUUAAAGUAUUUAUCGGUGAGAUCUCGAGCUUAACAUUUCUAUUAAUCUGUUUUCUUUUUGCAGAUCUUUAGAGUUUAUAUAUUUCUUCAAAUAUAUAAGAGUGUCACAUAAUUUAGACAAAAUCAACUAUGACAAUUAGAUAAUAUAAGAAUAAAUCUUUAAAAGAUUAUGUCAUGAGAUGAGACUAGUGGUUGACCUGCACCCGCUCAUUCAAUUUCAAGCUAUUUAUGUUUCUACUAGGAUGAAAAAAGAACAAUGCUAAGAAGUGGCACAUAGAUUAACAAUCUUCUUAAACCCUUGUCAUCUUGUCAAGUCAAGUCAUUUCAACGAGGGUUAUAAAUGUCUAGCUAAGAGGGUUAUAAGAGUAUAGCUAAGGCUACAUUUCACUCUAACUUGACUACUUCCUCAAAACGAUCGAUCCCUUAAGUCGGUCACAUUAUUCAAGAUGAUUUUUUUCUCAAGAUUAUUGCUCUGAAGCUGGUUGCAUCAUCAAGAUAAAAACAUAAGAUAAUCGCACACUUAAAUCGAUUAAGUCCUUCGAGAUGAUCGUUUUCUUAAAAUAAUCACUUAUAUCAGAUCUUUCAAAAUAGUCAUGUUUUCAAAAUGGUUAUAUCUUUAAGUCAGCCAUGUUUUGGUGCUUAGCCGUCUAACAUUCUAAGGUUAAACGCAAGUUGGUUGCUGCAUAGAUCAGAAUAAGAAGCCUGACAAACGCACGUCGGUCUAAUAGCUUAAACAAGCAUGGGGCCUGACCUCAUCAAGAGGUACCUCCUCUAUCAUAGCUUAUCCAAUGCUGUCUCUCGAUCUUAGUAGGUUGAGUUACUGCAAGCAUGCCCAAGGUUGAGCUCCUUCUGAUCUCAUCCAACGAGGCUCAUGUUGAGCAGCCCCUAUAUGACGUAGCUAAGUCGAGCAACAUGGAGGGGGCGCAUGAUGCAAUUCGAGAUCAAGACGAUGUUUUGGUGUCAAAGAUAAUUCCUUUACCACCGUACCAAGUAUACACAUACAUUUUAGCUACUAACACAAACAUACAAGAGAUGUCAAUGCACCCAACAUCUGAUUAGCCCAAGUCAAGCAUGUCGAAGAAAAAACAAUCUCAAACCUAACCAUGGAUGAGACGAAUUCUUGCAAGGUUAGCCCGAUCAACCUAUAGCUAACAGGAUGGAUAAAUCAAGCAUAAUACUCACGACGACACCUGAGGCGUAGCAGUCGGUAAGUAGGUUGAUGGGGCUUUUAUUCGGUUCAAUAGCCUAUUUGGACCAAGUUUUGAUUCCUAUAAUUUGAUACAAUUUUAUCUCCAAAAUCAAUAACCCUCAAUGAAUGAAUAUAUACAAUUUUUAAUAUAAAAAAAAAACAAUAAAGCAUCCCCAAGUUGUAUAUCACGCAGGUCUCAUCCACCAUUUACGAAGCAUUUUUUUGAUACUACAACCUGUGGAUAUAAUAUCACCACCGAGACGGACAUAAACGUAGGUGGAAGAUGAAGUAGGUACAGCGAUCACAAAAUACUUUUUCAUAUAUCAAUCAGAUUGUGAAAUGCAGGGUACAUGUGUAGCAAUUGCAAUUGCAACCGAUGCAAAUAAGUAAAUAGCUAAGAGCCUUGGACGAGAUGAUUACCGCCAAGCUUCAAGGAUCAGAUGCUGCAAUGAGUGAAUUGAAGACUGUUGUUCCCAGGAAAAUUAGCCCAGCUACUCCGUGUAUACCUCCCCAAAAAAAUAGAAACUGUAACCUUACCUUGGAGUUCUAGAGAGAGAGAAAGAACACUGCUGUACCACCCAAAACUAUUUAAGUCCCCUCCUCCCCCCAGCUAAAAAGGGAAAAAGAGAGGUAAAGAAAAAAAAGAAGAGAUGCUCUACUCUUGUUCGGUAGAAUUAUGCAAUGUCGUUUCUUCUUCGUCGAUGUAUUCUUCAGUCAGUGACUGAUCGACCUCUGGUUCAAUCAUGAGAGGGCCUUGAGGAGUUCCAAAAAGCGCAGAGAAUAUUUGCCUGUGGCAGUCAUCACAAAAGCAGAAAUACGACAAGUGUCCUUCACCAAGCAACCUGUGCAAUGUUGCUCCUGGAAUCAUCCGUCGAGCAAAAUCAGUCAUCGAUGGUGGCACCACAUUGUCAUCCAUCCCCUGGUUAUAACUCCAACAUUUAGGAGAGGACAAAUAUGCAGCAUGACCAUUUUAAGUAUGCAGAAAUAUGAAAACUUUUCAAGCAAUGAUGAAAGUGGACUGGAUGCAAAUUGUAUAAAAAAUUCUAAGAGCUUUGAACGUGACUGCAUAUCGACCUCAUGUUGAGUAAAAAAGGUUCGUCGGAUGUUAAGCAGGAUAAGUAUCGCUCGCAAGCUAACAAAUGCACCUGAUUCCUAAUGUGAAAAAGAGAAGAAAACACAGACCUGCCAGAUGUGUAUAGGGCCAGGAAAGCCUGCCCACUCGUGUUCAGCCUGACUAUAUAGUGACUUGAGCCAUGAGAGGAGGCCUUUUCCCUGAUGCUGCCUCUGCACUUGUAGAUCAGCCAAACUGAAGCCCCAGUUUGAUACUUGAAGUACAGCUUCCUCAAUGAAUGGUUUGGGAUUUCCUUGACGGACAGAUUCACUCACAUCCUUCUCCCAGAAUUCCCUAAAAGUUGGCUCUUCCAAUAAAGAUUUAUCCUAGAUGCAUAAUACAGACCAUAGAUAUCAAAUGAAAGAAAUGGGUAAAGACUCAUAAAAAAAUAACAAAGCAUGUGAGCACCCCCUUCAACAAAUUCAAAAUUUUAACUAUUUGAUUCAGUUUACAAGAUUGUCAGGUACUUCAUUGAUAAAAUUGUAGAUGACAAACAAUAGAAGUCAAAACAGGAACAUGAGAUGAAGAAAAUGAUACAAAAUGUCCGAGCAUGAAACAGUAAUGUAGUUGUAAAACCAAACUGUCACAUCAUACUACCAGUUCCCUGAGGAAUUUGGUUAUUGGUUUACAGAAUAGUUGGGACAUUCUGGCUUGUUUUUGUAGCAGUAGUUGUUGCUGUUGAAUAUGGAAUGCUAUGCACCUGCCCACAGCAAAGCUAACAGAAACUAGAAUUUUCAAAACAUGCUAGAAUGUUGCGAAUACAAAAACAUUUAAAGAUCAACAAAAAAGCACUGGCUGAGGUCUCUAAGAAUAAAGGCGCCAUUUGAAAAAGUCCAGAAAUGAUCAUAUUGACAUGGAAAUUGUGAUGACAAAAUCAGAUUUUUUUGACUUGACAAAUAAGAAGAUUUUUUUUCUGCAAAUAACAUUUGAUAAGAUAAUAAUAGAAAAUUAUGAGAUGUAUUGUAACAUUAAGCUUCCAGAAAUUCUAUCAAAUUUCAGAAAAAACAACUAGUUAGUGGGAAAUUUUUUUAGAAAAACUAUAAAUAAAACUAGGCAUACCUUCUUACCCAGUGACAAUGACAACCACUUCUCAGGCUGACCAUAUUCUCCAGACAAAAAACUUUUGUGAUAAAAAUAUGAAAGAAGAGAGGGAAUCCUCCGAGCCAAAACAAACAUUAACUUCCUUUUCAUAGUCCACUUAUCCCAAAUUUUAUGAAUUUCCUCCUUGUUCAGGCUGGAGUCAUACGGAUUGGCCAUUGGAGCAAACAACGCUACACCUGAAAUCACAAAUAUGAGACAGCCAAGGAGUGAAGUAAACCAACAGACAGAGUAAAUAUUGCAUCAUCUUUUCAGAUUAGGGGCUUCCUCUUUCUUUGAUAUUUUAUAUCAAACCAAAAGAUCAUUCCUACAAACAAAGAAGUCAAUUCCGUGAUUUGAUAGCAUAAUUAUUAACAAACACCUACUACAUAUCCAUUAUUAAAGGAAUGAACAAGAAAUUCUGGAUGGAGGCAAUGCUACAUCAUUAAGAUUUCUGGCUUAAAUUAACUAUGUGAUUAUAUAUGAUCAAUCAGUCUCAAAUCCUGUGAACAAGUAUCAUACAUGGCUUAAAGGAAUGAUCAAGUAGCAUAUAUGAAUAUUCAAUCUAAAAUCCUGGGAGCUGUAUACCUGCCAACAUUAUAAACUGUCUUUUUGCUUUAUAACAGAAUUUCCUUUUUUAACUUUAGUGGUCACAAUAAGACAGUUUUCAUAAUGGUCUCAGUCAGACAUGCCAUAGAAUCUUAACACUGGCCCUUGGUAUUACUACCUUAGUUCCAUCCUGAAGACCAUUCCUCUCCCAAGAUUCUCUGCAAUCAAUUGCUGGGAUGGAAAUUGUUCCUCCAUUACAAUUAGGUCUGACUUCACAAUUUGUCAAAGUCAUCUAUAGAACAUAAAAGCAAUGCUUCAUCCAGCACUUGCUAACCUAACAUAUUAUGAAAUAAAGGAUCGUUGACAGAACAUAUUCUUGAUUGAACUAGUGUUUGAAAUUCCCAAAUAUUCUCUGCCAUGGUCUUAAGCUCUUCACAAACCUUUUGCUGAUCAUCCAGCAUAUAAUAAUUUGUAAUCGCAUAGCAUUAUCAUCCGAAGCCUUCUGCCAUUAAUUUGAUGUUGGCAAAAGAGCAUCAUUAGACAUCAAGGAGUCUGCACGGACAUGACUAGCAAUUUAACAUGAAUCCACUUAAACUGGUGUUAUGUUUCCAUCAAGCAAGAGAUUGACUUACCCAAAUGGAUCCGUUAGCUGCUGGAUAUCAGAGAGCAAUAUCUAAAACUCCCCUGGACCAACAAGUCUUAAUAAAAAGGGAACAACAAGUUCCAAUAUACGGAUCAUUAUUCAUCCCAAAUCACAAAAGAACAAAUAAUUCAAGUGAUACUCGUGGUAUUUGCUACAGUUUCAGAAAGCUAGGUCUAUGUACUAAAAACUAACUACAGCUCUCAUCUUAAAGGGAAUAAUAAAACACAUGAAGCACUAAGAAGAAACAACCUGUUUAUACAUUACAUCUCAAAUUAGAUCAGAAACAUUCAAUAUUGAUUUGCAGUCACAGUCACAGAAGUAACAGCCCUGGAAAACUUUAGCAUCUACAGAUGUGAAAGGGUAAUGUAAAAACUGUGCAAGAACUAUACAAACAAAAGGUACCUGCUAGUCUGUCAGGAAUAUAACGAACAGCUGCCCAUGCAUGCAUGGCUCCACCAGAAUAACCCACUACCCAGAAUUUGUCUGUAACACCAAGAGCAUUCGCCAAAUGAAGCAUAUCCAUAGCUGAUGAGUUGAGAUUCCUACUGAGAUGAGGAUCACUUUCACCAAAACCUGGAAGAUCAUAAGUAACCAAUCGAACACCAAAUUCCUCUAAGAGAGACUCUUUAACGCCAGGUAUUCCUAUAUAAGUAUAGAAAGACAAGUUAGUUUAUAAAUUGAAAAACAAGGCAUGUUUGAGGGUUAAUUACAUUAUCUAUGAAACGGAAGAAAGGAGGAACAGGUUGCACCUGCAAAACGAGAAGAAAGAAAAGAAUGCGGUGCAAUCAUGCAGAAUCUAGCACUUUCAGCUGGAACUCCCUUUUCUUGAUACGCAACAUAUCUACCAUCUAGAAGUUGGAUGCGGCUAGCACCUGGAGGACUUAUAUACAGCUUCCUUGGCAGUUCAACAGAAGUCUCAUUUCCACUAUUUACACUUAGUACUGCACAGGAUUUUUGGUCAGAAUAAAGAAAACAUGUUAUAUGGAUAAACAAAUAUUAAGAAACUGUAUAUUAAAUGGACCAAAUGGAACUUAUAUGCACAGAUUUUUACUGAUGAUGUCAGUCAAUGACACAUAAUGUUUUAUUAAAGACAGUAUCAUAAUGAUCAUUGAAAUGAGAGUUGUACUAGCUAGCAAAUAUUGUAUGGAAUGAAUUAAUUGUAAUUUUUUUAAUCUUUCAAGCUUGAAACAAACCCAUUUUGAAAAAGAAUUACAAGAAUUCCAUGGAGUUUAAACCCACAUUCUUGUCCAUAUAUGUUGUGUAUUAAUUCUUGAGGCUGGUUGUAGGCCAAAUCAGGCGCUGGUUGCCACCUUGAAAUCUUUACCAAGAUAAAAGAGGAAACAAUAUACACAGAAAGGUUGUAGAAUGUUGGAGACGACAGGUACGAACACAAUUUUAAAAUUAAAAAAUGGAAAUUUGAUACAGGUAUUAGAUACUUGCCUUAAAAAAGAGGAAUUACAUGAUACUAAUUGAACACCAAACAAAUUUUUUGAUUGCAAAAGUCACGCAGCAAGACAAACUUUAUAAUCUGAUGAAAUUAAAGAUUAGUUAUCCGGACAGGACUGACCAGGUUUGGGUUAGAUAAUUAUGAUAUAAUAGUGAAAAAAUUAGCAUAAGGGAAAAAUACAAUCUUUAACCAAAACUUUCCGAGAGAGUCCAGGAGGGUAACAAGUUAGGGAAACUUGGAAGAAACAAUUUCAAAUUCUAUUGUACAAUAAUAAGUUUACAGAUGACAGACAUCAAUACAAACUAAAAGACGAAUAUGUAUCAGAAAAAUGGGAGGAAAUAACAUUAUUGGCCAACAAAAUUACAAAACCAAGUUCAACAUACAUGAGAAAUUCUAGUCCUUAUGCCCAUGUACACAUCUAAAAGUGAACUAUCUGCAAUGGUCCUUUAUGCAGAAUUUGUUCUAUGGAUAAUAGAAUACCUUUUUUCUAACACAGCAAGUAAUUGUGAAUUGAAUGCAUGAAGUUUCUUGGUGUUCUUAGUAUAAUUCCUUAAGAUCCUAGUAAAAUCAAACCAGUCUCGCCAAAAUGCAUACAAGAUCAUCAAGAACACUAGAAAUUGUUACCGAGAAGAGCGAGAAGAAAGACCCCGACGAUGACGGACCAAGCAUGCACCGGAUCCCGAUCCUCCGGCAGGUACUCGUUCAAGAACUCAAGCCGCUGCGACGCCACAGUCCAAUGCCCCUUGACCUUCUUCCCGACGUAGGUCUCCUCCACUCCCUCCAGGCUCUGCUGCGCGAUAUCCCAGCACCCAUGACCGAGCUCCCGCAGCAUCUCCCCCGUGGCCAUCACGAACCCCGUCAACUGCUCCUUCAAGCUCUCCUCGGCCGCAGCCCCCGUCCCCUCCUCGUAUACGCCGUAAUAUCCCUUCUCGAAAACCCUCCCGCCCAGAUCCCUCGCGUCCCGCUCCUCCUCGUCGGCCUCCGGGACGCCGGCGCCGUACCUGAUUCCGGUGUCCUCCACCAGGCUGGCCAGUUCAUCCUGCCAUGUCAUCCCACCGCCGCCGCCGCGCGCCGACGCCAUCGCCGCUGCCCCCAAAUUUUCCUCACUCGUGGGGACUAGACAGGGAGUGAAAGAGUGGCGUGGUUUUGAAGCAAGAUCGCGAAGCGGCGGAUGGACGGACAAGAUUUUACGGGGAGUAUCUCAGGGCCACACCGAUAUCCCGGUGGCCGAGGGCGCCAACCGCCAUUGAUGGCAAGCGGUCUUCUUCUUCUUCUAACUCUUUCCCUUUCUCUCUCUUAUCCUCGAUCGCUCGUUUGAUGCCACCACUAAUGUCUCGGAGUGGGAAAGAAAGGGCAGGGGAAGAUCUGAGAGCCGCCACUUGGGGGCAAGAAUUGGACGGCGGCGACACGUGGAACGGGCCGGCGACGACGGUCAAGAUCGGUCCACGUCGGACUUCGGUCAGCUCCAUGCGCGUACCGGUUACGCUUUAGGCAUGUGCCGGGCGGGUGGCCCACCUGCGGUUGCCGGUUUUGCCGGUCGGCUCCUCACGGAUCCCGUGCGCCCAGUGGAGGCACGUCGAAGGCUGGGUUCCACCUCCCUCGGCGUACGUGUCGCGUUGUGAGACGACAACCUCGUAGUUCGUGUCUGGGAUCAGGGGAGGGGCAGCAAGCGACGGGAAGGACGUGCGGAAUAAAAAUAGGAUUCCGGGUGGUGGAGGCGCGUUGAGAAGCGUACCGUUGAUGGAACACGAGACAGCGUUUAUCACCAACCAAUGACGGUGCUAACAACCGUUCAAUCUAGAGCGGCAUCGGUCACGCGAGGACAACUACGUUCGGUGAUGGGUCGUUCUCGCCGUAGGAUCAGCGUUGCGCUGAUGUGAUUGAUCGAGAGCGACGAUUGAGGGGUCACAUCGGAGUGGUGCGUGGAAGUAUUCUAUGUAGAUGCUGAGUCGGAGUAGGUGGGUUGAUGAUGAGGAUUAGUGGGGUGGAGGUGACCUCUUUACACGACCACGGUGGUGUGAUGACGACCUUUUGGUUGGGGCUGGAGAGAUAAGAAGGAAUAGGAUGGUCGUUGGUAAGUCUAUGGGAGAGGCAAAGAAAGGGAGAUGGCGUGGUAGUGGGGGCAGCGAGUAGGUUUGCACGUUCACGUCAACCACUUGUCUCUCCCAAAAGCCGUUUGGUUCACUUAACUUUAUAUCCAAUACAAACUGUGAAUAGUAGUAACAUUACGUGAUAUAAAUGAAGCAAAACUAUGCGUUUCUGCACUAAUUUAAUACUCCAUAAGUGAUAAAGGAUCCCCACGUAUGUUCAUCAACAACACAUCACAUGUUUUUGCUUGUCUUUUACUCGCUUCACUAUCAAGACCAUUAUUAGCCUUACGAACACGACAGAGCCAAUCAAACCUACCAUCGAUUGCAAGGAUCUGCAAGCCUGUCAUGCCAAAUUCGAAAUCCAGAUCGACUCUCGAUCAACAUCCAACGGUGGGCUUUUAUGUCGCGGGCCAACUUUGGGCAAGGCGAGAAGCCCAUGAACCCAACUUGUUUGCAUUUGGUGGUGCUGCGGACCUGAUCUUGACCAAUUGAAAUCAACUCAGAUUGAUUGCGUCCAAUCUUGGCUGGUCUAACCGAGUCCGAAUCAAGUCGAUCAUAUGCUUUCUUUGAUUGUACGCUUCUGUUUUCUGAAUCAGUUGAGUCAAGAAACUUUAGGAGGUUGAGAAGUCGGAUCAAUCGCAGGGGCCCAUCAAUUAAUUAGAGCCACCGCCCUUCCCCGGUUUGCGUAUGGCGCCUUCUCCGCCGUCCGCUUCCACCAUCCGACGGCUAGUGUAUUGCCGUGUCGGGUCCGUCGAUCUGGAUCAGGCAAAACGAACGGCCCGCACUGCUAGUCGUGGUUUGGUGUGGAGAGCAGGGAUGCAUUAUGAUAUCACGAAUCUUGAAGAUAUAUUAUUUAUAACAAUGGACAUGAGCACCGUCGAUCGUAUAGAUCUGACGGUCGUGAUAAGCUUAUUCUUCUCCGACCCAUUUGAACUGAACCGUCCCCAUCUACAGACCAGUUCGGGGAUCCGCGCUACCCGGACGGAGAUAUGAGCACUUCCGCCGCUCCGUCGAGUUCAUCCUCCCCCAGCUUAAACGUCACUGGUAUCGCCGUUCCCGCGACAGCCAAGGACGACGUGUACGUCCCGGUGGAGAUCGUGAGCGAAGAAGAGAUGGCGUUCCUCGAAGCCGCCCUCGCCUCUACCCGUUCCGUCCUUUCCUCUUCCCCCUCCCCCUUCUUCUCCUCCGCCUGCUCUUCUGCCUCUCGCUUCGCCCUCCUCUCCCCGCUGCCUUCGGGCCUCUCUCACUCCUGCCGGCCUCAAUCCUUGGCCACGACGCCGAAUAUCGAGGAUUUCGUCCCGCCAAGAUCCUCCCUUCUUCGUCGAUUUCGGUCUAGGAGGGGGCUUUCGGUCACUGACAUCAUCGGCACGGUAGGUUUAUUGCUUUUAUCCAUGCUGUAGACAAAGAUUCGUUUUGUCCCCUAUCUUUCGUAAGACGGCUUUUGUAGCAGUUGUUCAGCUACUUUGGGUCGCAGGAUUAAUAAAAAUUGGGAUAUUUAGUGUCAUCUUAACAACUAAGAUGAGAAACUGAAACCAUAUUCUAUUGCUGAUUACGGAUUUAAUGUCCCUCUCAUCCGAUAUGUUUAUGUUGUUUUAUGAUCUCAUUUGAAGACCCGUCAAUGCUAGGAAUGGUGUGAGAAGCAAAUGGAGUUUGCCCUUACCCAUGGAAAACCAAAAAGAACUGUAGCUAUGAAAGCUGGCUCAGAUCGCCAUAGCCAACUCGAAAAGGAGGUGAGUCAAUCAACGGAGACUAAGAUGCAAAAUUAUUUAUGGUUGUGUAACUUCUAGUCUCCCUUUUAUAUAGUGGAUCAUGUAUAAUGAUGCUGAUUGCUAAUCUCGAGAAGCCAUGUCUGAUUUCUUGUUGCAAUGAUGUAGAGGCGUAUAUCCUAAUAUGCAUACCACACACACAUGUUUAUGAUGAUAACCUAUGCAUACAGAAUUAAAUUGAGAAAUUAGAUUAUGCAUUUUCAUAGUCCUUGGAACACCAAUGUGCUAAAAGCUUUAACAUGAGAAACUGAGAAAGUUCCUUAGGUUAUCUUGAUCAAGAGGGAAAAUGGUCUAUCAAAAAUCAAAAUAUUAUAGCACCCCUUCUAUUCUCAUACUAUUAAGUUCUGUAAAUUGAUUUCCAAUUUGGUGAUAAAUCUAACAUUCAACUUUCUAUCACUUUCUCAUUCUUCUUCUGUCUUUUUAGGUGGUAGGCAAUUGAAAUAUCUUUCACUUGAAAACAGGUUGUGGAGAAGGUAGAAAUUCGUACUGAGUCUGUCGAAGAAUACUGGGUGAUACAAUUGAUGAACUUCAUUGUGGGAGCACACCAACUAUUAUUUGAAGGCUUAACUCGUGAGCUUCCUGUGUAUGUCUAUGCCUUCUUCUUAAAGCUAAUUUGGGGGUGUAACAUUGAGUAGAUCAGGAUAAUUAUGUCUCUCUUCUCAUGAUUUUGGUAACCUUUUCUCUUUUUGUUUUUUUCUUUUCGAUAUACAUGCUUUUCAUUGGUGUAAUUUAAGAUCAUCAUGGCAUGGCACAACUUUACCAUGAAAUUCUCGAUUGCUUGAACAUCAGAUCUUUCACUUGGAAGAAAAUCUUCAACAUGAAAUUCUUUAUUUGAUAUCCUUGUAUUUAGAGGUGGGUUUCUCAAAGUUAGAUGUGACUAGGUUCUUUUCUUUCUUGUAAAUGAGAUGUGGCAUUUUGCUUCAGAUAGUUGUAUGGCCAAGUAUUCUUUAUAUCUUAUGCAACAAAUUAAUGGAUUAGUUGAGAUGUAUUUUCGUAGAUGUUUUCUAAAAGCGGGAGAUGCAGAAGUGAGACAUCGCUUGAAGCUUGGGGAUAUCUGCUUUUGGAAACCAAAAUUUCUAUUAUGGUGACAAGAUGUGCAAAAAAGAUUCAAUGCCUUAAACUUCAUAAGGACCCGAGUAAGAUAGCAGGAGACGUAAAAAAAUAUUUAUGGAGAUCAUCUGAAAGAACAACAAUCUAGCUACAGUUGUAAGGAUAAUAAAUUCCCUUCACAAGAGUUGGAAGUUCUCCAUUGUCAUGAUUAAUCUUAGGUAGAUGCAUGGAGGAUUCAUUCAUUUGAUAAUAUGGACAAUCUUUCCACUUUAUUAGCACAUAAAUGCAUAUAUAGGUCACUCUCGCAUGGCCUUUGGGUCCAUUUAUGUUUUAUAAAUCUAAGAAUGUAAUCACAUUUCUGAUGGAUGGUAUUGACAUUAUAUUAUUUCAGAGUAGGGAUUAUUGAAGAUACAUGGAUGGUGGGAGUGAUUGAUGAAAUUAGAUUGUCAAGAGAUGAAGAUACUGUUUGCACCUUCUUAGUGGAUACAAAGACACGCUAUAAAGCAACGGUGCCUUCGGAAGCACAAAGGAGAAAUGCCAGGUGACCUUUUGCAAAUAAUCUUACUUCCACCUGCCAGUGCUAUAAUUAUACAUAUGUAUCAGGAACCCUGUGUCAUUUGUAGCAUCACAGCUUUUCUGAAAGGGUUCUAAUAAUUUCUCUUUGUGAAAUAACAUAUGAUGAAUGUCAAUUUUGGAUUCAUUUUUCAUGAUUGUUGUGGCACUUCCCCAUGACACAUUGUAUGGGGACCCCAUCCUCUCCAAAGGUAGGAGACUUGCAAAUCCAGAGGUAGUAUUUGAAUUAUACAACUUCGUAAUGGAGAUUUUAUCUGGUCAAGUUCAUCUGAACCAGUUACAAUUCUUUUGUAGAGAUGAUUCAGAGGCUCUCUUAGCUGUACACAUGAUUCAAAUGUUUAAUCAGCAAAUAUUACAAUUUCUGACUUAUAACUUCUCUAAAUGGACCCAUGUUGGUAGAUUAAGAAUAAGGUUUUAUCAAGAUAAGAACCUUCAACUGCUUUAUAAUUAAGCAAUCAUGCAAUCAUCAUCAACCUUUUCUUUAUCAUGGAGUUAAAUAUAGGGUAAAACUCCUAAGUUGAGUAGACUUGAGCAAAUUCUACAUCCUGCCGACUUCCAGUCUCAAUAACUAAUGCCAAACAGCAAACUAAGACAAAUUUGGUGGAGAGACCUAAAUAGAAGAUUUUGUACUAUGAUACUAUCUGUAAACUAAUAUUAUGGCAUGAUUGUCAUGUCUAGUGCCAGUAACAGAGGUCUUUCAGAUAUUACACAUAAUACUCAUACAAUGCUAAUUAUUUUGGCAUGGAAAAAACAAAUGUUAUAGUAGUUUUAUUAGUGAAAAUUAGGUGACUUUCAUGACUUCUGGCCAUAUUAGUUCUACCACAUGGUACUUGAUUUGGUCUCUUUAGUCAUUCAUGUAUGUAUUUGAUUGCUUAGAAUAUUAUCUCAUCAAAAAGCCUAUUCUGCUUUCAGUUUCACAUAAAGUACAACUUCGUUCCAGGCCUUUUACCUUAAGAUUGAAUAUGGAGCAUUGCUUUUUCAGAGUCCCAGAGGCAUUAGGAGGUUUAAAGGAUCACCACUUUCUUCUCUUCUCUCUCUCUUUCUCUCUUGCUUAUGAAUUGUUAAAAAAGGAAGGGUGAGGGUGUUGCUUGUUUAGGAGAAACUGACCACAAUUUAAUGACUGACUGUCCAUCUGCCACUCAAAUUUGUACAAUCACCCAUCCAAGAACAGAUAUUUAAAGAAAACAUUUCCCAAUUGAUUUGAAUCUCCUAUAUCUUCUGAUCUUUGGAAUUGUGAGGCUAACAUGCAUGGGCUUUCUCUUAGAUAGGCAUGGUAUCUUUCAAUUACUGAAUAAACUGUUUUAGUCACUAUGUCAAGUAGUUACUAUCUCUGCUGAUAACAUUUCCUUGCAGUUAUAUGAGUAAUAAAAUUUCUGAGUGCUAAUUGAUUUGUGAUUGUAGGCUCCAGUUGAUGUGCUAUAAAUACCUUUGGGACAAUUUGGUUACCACUAACUUCCCCAUGGAAGAAUUCUUUGAUCAUUUUAAGCUGAAUCGCCUAUAUAUACUGUCUGGAGAUGUCAAGGAACACAUUGCGUCAUUAGGCUUUGAUGUAAAGGUAGAACUUUCUUUUUAUGAUUUAAAAUCAUGAUUAGUUUCUUGCAACGUUUUAAGAUGAGCAAUUAUCACAUGCAAACAUUAUUGUGAUUUUUGUUUAUUUAUAUAUGUUUUAAGCUAACUAAUAUGUGUGUCAUUUAUUCAGCUAUAUACCCCAUUUCAGUCAGUAAGUAUUUAUAGCAAUGCAAUAUACUUUUCCUGAAUGAGACUUGUGAUAUCCUCUUAUCCUGAUUCCAAGCAUGGUAUACAUGCCUCUGGUUAUGAAAAAUGUAACUUUCCUGGUUAAUUAGUGUAUUACUUUGUCUCCUUCUUAUUCUGUUUAAAUAUUUUAUCAAUAACAGUUUGAAAGUCUGAUGAUAGCUUUCUCUUUUUUUCUUGGGGAACUUGAUAUGAUGUUUUUAAUUUGGUACCUAACAGAUGCUCGAAGAUGUGUUCACUUAUUUUCAAGACACUUCUUGUAUGCUUUCCCUAUCUCAUGAGCAGCUUCUCCUGAGGUAGCUGUCACAAGAUUGACUUGGAUGUAGUGUCUAUGUGAAUCUCAGUUGUAAACAUACCGAUGCAUCUAUCUUCUCUUUAUCCAGAUAUGAGUUGCAAUCAGAUCAUUCAUUACUGGGGGAAGACUCUUUUCUGUAUGAUGCUGGUUGGUUUCAGAAACAGAUACACAAGUGCCUUGAGUUUUGGAUGGGAGAUAGGGAAGCCAGUUUUGUCUCAGACGAUGAGAAAUGGAAAUGUAACUUUUGUAAGUUCACUUCCAUAUGUCCUCUGUCAGCUACUACCUCCAGAAAGAGUGCAAAAUAGGCAUUUUCAUGAAACCAGGUCUUUUUGUGGAGUUGAAGCAAACACUCAUCCACUGAUUUGUAACACAAGAUUCAAUUAGCAACCAUUUCUAAGUUAUCCUACGAAGUUCAGUUUGUAGCUUGGCAUGGACCGAGGCUGUCACUGACAAAGGUGGUGCUUCAAGUCUGCUAUAUAAUCAUUUUUGUUCCAUUACAAGUUAAAAACUAAUUACUUUGGAUUCAUAAUCUCAUUCAUUCUUCGAUUACAGAUGAAUCGGUGCUGGCGAUACAGAGAGCCAAGUGAUGUGCUUUCUGGUCUAAUAGUUCUCAUUUCAGCUGACCAUGAAGCCACCUCUGUGAGUGCUGCUUCUGUCCCUACAAAAUUUCUAGUUAAACACUGUUGUCUAUUUAUCACCUCAACUAUAGUAUGGUUGUUCUUUAUUUAUGCUUUGUGAGGAAAUGCAAUGAAGGCUCAGUAGUUUAUAAAAUUCAUUAUCAUAUAUUGUCUUUUCAUAGCUUGUUUGAAAUUUCUGUAUGUGCUCAAACUUUGUGUUCUUCUCUACAAUACAUAUGUACGUUGUUUUGUACAUUUUUCGUAUGGUUUGGGUUUGAAUGAUUAUAUUGGACUUAUAUAUCUCUGUUUUGGCCAAUUUGGCUUAGCAUCCUUAGCUUUGUUAUGGGGCCGUAAGUACAAUGUCAUGUUGCAUCAUCUCCUCAAUUUUGUCAAAAUAAAAUUUUGCCUGAUUUGUGUAAACAUUGCACAAUUACUGUGUUCCGAUCAUUAAUAUUUUUAACAAAUUUAAUGUUUUCUUAAAAUAUUUUCCUGAUGAAGAUUCAUAAGAGUGAAAAUUUUGAAGAAUGGGGAUAAAAAAAAAAAGAUCUUGUAUGAAUAUUUUCUGAGUAGAAACUUUUCAAGAAAGUGCCAGUUUAGUGAUUGAAUUUGGUUUAAUUUCAAUUGAUACCUGAAAUUAGAUCAAUUAAAUCCAAUAGUUUUAUUCGCAUGAAAUUUCUACAUUUAACAUAACACAAUGCUGCUUAGAUGAGUUUUUAUUUAUUUAUUUUUAAGUAGGAUAAAUGUAAGAUUAACAAUAUAAAUACCUUAGUAAGACCAAGAAAUGCAGUUCUUGAUUUGGGUUUAGAAGAAAUGUCAAGAAACCAAACUUCACUGUGAUACAUACAGUAAGGGAAAAAGAAAGGUCCAGCUACAGUUGGAUAUCGUAUUUGACUCACAAUAGGUUUGGGCCCCCAACGGCAAACUCAUCACACUGCCUCAUCCCUUUCAAUGCAGAGUCUCAGUGCCUGAGAUGACAGCCAAGUUGGGGCUGGGUGGAGAAGUGCCUUCCCACCCUUCCCUUCCCUUUCGUUGACACCAGGCUGAGCGGUCAUUUCAUGACAGUGAAAGCUCAGGAACUGAUGAACCCACAAGCCCUACCGUUUGUACCACCAUGUCUGCAUGAAGAAGAAGAAGAAGAGGAAGCGAAGUUUCACUGGUUUUUGGUGGGAAACAAUCGACAAGGGUGCGGAGAAGCCGCGUGGGGGCCUCAGUGCACGUAGUAGCAGUGUGCAGGUGUACAUGCAACCGCAUUUGUCUUGGGAGUAAUCAUUGUCAGUGACCAAAAGAGGGUGUCGACAGGGCACCGUUGGUACUAUAACUUGACUUGGUGGUGGCGAUAGUUCUUUUCCGUCAGUGAGUCGAUGAGGAAGUCCAAUGUGUGACACAAAUUCAAAUUUAGGAGGGUGAAGCUACUUCUGGUAGAUAGGAAAAGUGAACCACUACGAAUGACCUCCCUGAGACCUGAGUAAAUGAUAGGAGUGAAAGGUCUUCAAGCUUGAUCAUUCUGUAUGGUUGAUGAGUUUGGUCCACACGGCGUCCACAAUAAGAAGUUGUCGACCAUGUGAAGCGAGAUAGAAAAUAAUUUUACAUAGUGGUUUCGCUUCAGAUUCGGGGCUGUGUCCCUCUUCUUGGCUCUUCGGAGGUAGGUCACGGAGAAGCCCGUGUCACAAAACUAAAAAGAAUGAGAUCAAAUACAUGGAUUAAGUCAUAAUUUUCCUUAUCCUAAGGACGGUUCCGACUAUGCAAAAUUAUAAGUCAUGAGUUAUUUUUAUUAUUAUUAUUAUUAUGAGGGUGAAUUUAUAAAAAAAAAAACUCUUUAUCAGAGAGUACCCCAACUUUAAAAGAUUGCUAUAUAAUAUUUUUUUGUAAAUGAUAAUUUUGCCCUUGGCUCCUGUCGGACCCGUCUCCACCUUCGCUCUACAGUAUUGUAUUGCCUUCGCCACCGUCUCUCCUCUCGUCUAUUUUGUUGGAUCUACCAUUGCCUUUAGCUUCGCUCUUGGUCCUCGUCGGACUUGUCGCCUUCCCCACUUAAUAGGCGAUCAGUGUCGUCGCCCGCAACCCUUGCACGAGGAAGGAGGGGGUACAGAGGUGGCGACGAGUUUGACAAGGGCCACGAGAGUUGGUAGAGACAGUAACGACCUUCGUGCCCCCUCCUUUGCAUAAGGAUCGCAAAUGAGAAUGACAAGGGUUGUCGUCGUCUCCUCAAACACAUUGUUGUCGUCUUAUGCGAGGGUGAGAUAAGGGUGGGUUCGAUGUGAGCUAGCAAAGUCCGUGGAGGUAACGUCAAAUUCGAUAAAGUAGAUGGGAGGCGAGACGAUGGUGGAGGCGACACAAGGGGGAUGAUGCAUGGUAAAAUCGAAGGCGAGUACAAUGAGAGACAAUGGUAAAAUUAUAUGUUUUAACAGGGGUGUUUUGUGAUAAUUUAUCAAAGGGGUUUUUUUUUCUGAAAAUUCAUCCUAACAAUAACAUCAAAAAUUUAUCUCAUAUAAUUUUACCCUUGACCAUAGAUUUCUUGCUCUACAACAGAUAUGAAAUUAAAUAUACUUUUUAAGUAAUAAAUUAUUUAUUAUUGGAAGGGUUUUAAAAAGAAGAAAUUAUUUACUAUUGUAAGAGUUUUAAAAUUACUUAUAAUCCUAUUGACUGUGAUAAUAUCAGUAAUGUUUGGAUCAGUCCAACUUGAUUUAGAGUCGUGUGUAUAAGAAAUCUAGCAUGACUGAAUUCUUACUUGAGAGCUGAUGUGGACUUAGAUGUGUGAUCCAAGGCUAACUUACAUGAAGAUCAAGGAUGGAUGGGUUUUCUGACUUGAUCCCUUCGAUACUUAAGUCAAUAGCCAACAGAAGUAGAGUAAUCUUAAUAAACAGUAGUUAACCUCGAAAGGAUAAAAGCAAAAUAUUUCAAAAAUCGAUGUUUUAAAUUGAUAUCCAUAACAUACAAGUAUUGAUCGAAUUCCAUUUACAGUACUAUCACAUAUGUUGGUAUGAUCUGGAGAAAACAUUUCCCCUAUCAAUAACGAUGAACUUGGAAAAAAUUGUUGGCUUCAAACAUGUGUAACAUCUAAAAAAGAUCUGUCCUGACUCAAAAAAAAAAAUCAAUUUCAAUAUGUACAGUUAAGCACUUUGAGCUAACCAGCUGAUAUUUUUUAAUUUUAUCAAAUGAGUAUUUGAAUAUUUCUACGGGUAGGUGAGUUAUGUACAUCACCAACUAAGGAUAAGAUCAUGCCAAACUGACUACCCUAUACAAAAUGCUUAAUCAAUGACUAUUUCUGAUUCAAGAUCAUUGAAACUUUUAAGCCCCUUUGUCUCAAAGUGCUGUCCUAAUAUUACUUAUUAAAAUUUUAAUACCUAAAAUUUAGUUGAGUAAACGUGUCAACAAAAAAAAAGAAGUUCUAUUACGAGCCAACACGUGUCAAAAAAUUGUUCACGCGAAACCUACACGCGCGGGUGUGUACCACUCUUGGCAACAACGCGAGGCCCCACCUCCAUGCCGACAGGCUCCACGGGACUUCAUCCCGCGAGUUCGGGGGUCGACGCCGUUCCCCUACCCGCGCAAUAACGCGUAGCCUUCUUCUUCCACCACGAGUGAUGUGUGAUGCCAUUCAUGUCCCUUAAUAAUGGGGAGAGAACGAUGGACAAAUGCUGCAUGCAAUUGGCCUCAAAUUUGAUAUUUAUUUCUUACGAUUCUGCUCAUCAACGAGACAUGUUCCGAUUUGGAAGCCAUUUUUCUUUAUAUUGAUUUGACCAGUACGUACAUUAAUUUUUGUUUGUUUAAUUUGACCACCAAAAAAUUAUGAUUUGCAAGUAACAUGUAAAUUAUGUAAAGCACUCGACGUUGGAAUUGGCAAUAAUUAGACAACACACAAGUGUUUUCUUUAUUCACAGUUGCACUAGAGGACAUGGCAGAGAUCAAACCUCACGAAUCAUAUUGAUGACUUCUUUGGUGCAUGAUACAUGGUCCAACAACAUGUUCUUGCUAGCCUGAUGCCCAUUCCAAUCACAUGUUAUGUUGCCUAUACUCUCAUCAUUCCGAAAAGGCCGUAUCUAAAUGAAUAGAUUGUGUCGAUAGAUAAAUUAUCAAGCUAAAAAAAGGAUUUUUUUUUUUUCUAUCAUUCAUGACAUAAGAUCAUGAAAAACCAGUUAUGUAAUAUUUUAUUUUCUUAUUAGAUUCGGCUAAAUAGUCACGUAGGCCACACCCUUUGAAACUUGAGCUGCAGUGGCACAAGUCCUCAAGCUUGGGAAAAGAGGUGGGAGGGGAUCCAAUUUUUCUCUGUCUUCUUGUGCUGGAUUAGGUGGGGGCUCGAUGGACAUCAGACCACGUGGCCAUCAUCGCACAUGAUCACCAAAUACAUGUUCUCCGCCCCGAUUCUUAUGGACGGUGACGUCCAUAGAUCGAUGACAUGUGAUGUACAACCAACCGUCGGAAUUUGACUGCCUCGCCCACACUUGUGCUUCAUUGCAAGUCGUAGCCAUGCAGUUGGCCACAGCAAAUUGGCUCACGUCGACCACGUUUCGGGACCGGUGAGUUAGGUUCAUGUCAUGUUGGAGAUGUGACCACGACGCAUGGAUUGGAUUAGAUGUGAACGACGCGGUUGGAUCCAUCGGAUCCAACAUCGAUCGAAGGAAGCCGCCACCGCUUUCUGAUGAUGGGAAUAUUUGUUCGUUUUGAAUGACCGAACGCCGCGCCAACCUAUCAAACAUCACAUCAUGCGUCGAGAUUCGUGAUUUGUGAUCCCUAUUUUGGAUCCGUGUUUAGUAAAGUCCUUAUUUUGCUUAAGAAGGAAAAAAAAAUUGUCUUUCGUUUCGAAAGCUGCAUUGAGAUGUUUUGAUUUUGUCGAACUGUGUCUUUUUAACUUGAACAUGAAACACGAGGCAUAAUAGAUGUAUUAUACCUAUGUAACAUAUUAUAUACAUAUAUAUAUAUAUAUAUGUAUUUUAUUUAUAUUCAUGUAUAUUAACUGAAGCAUGAUAACAACUGGAGUCAGAUUUUGAUCAUUCAUCUGAUGAAAAAAGAAAAUAGCUAAUCUAAUUUCUUUUUCUUGAUCAUCGAAGUUAGACGAUGUCAGACUUGUUUUCGGUCUUUCUUUUAUCAUAGGAGGACAUGAAUUUUUUAUAGUGUCAUUAGAAUAAGUCUAUAGGUGAAUUAGAUUCUUCCAUCAAUACAUAUAUAAUAUUAUUUAUUAUAAAAAAAUGAUAAUAUCUAAAUCAUUCUAACACGAUUCGGAUUGAGAGUUAACCAUCGAAGUGGCUCGAGAGUUUUCUGACUUGAUCUCUCUCUCGUAUGUUCAUGUCAACUUCAACGAGGGUAGUAAAAAAAUAUAACUUUUUAUUAGACAUAAUAUAGCUUUUUACAACAGAUUGAUAAGAAAGAAUAUUUUAAAAAUUAUUCUUAGAUAAAAUUCUUUAACAUUUCUUUUGGACUAAUGUUAACCUGAUCUGAUUAUUGAUCGAGUUUUUCCUAUGGAUAAUUGAUUGUAUUAGUAUGUGUAUUUUCAGGUGUCGAGCUAUAGUUAGGGAAGAAGGUUUCCAUAUCAAUUUACUAACAAUAUUUUUAUCAUAAGAGUAAUAAUGAUAAUAAUAAUAAUAUUAUUAUUAUUAUUAACUACCUUUGCAUGGUGUAUAUAAUAUGACUCAUGCCAGACAGAUAUUUAAGCUGGAAUACACUAUAUAUAUAUAUAUAUAUAUAUAUAUAUAUAUAUUAAUUUUCUUUUUCCCGUAUAGUAUAAACAAUGAAACGGCAGCGAAGUCUGAACCGCUGAUGUCAGGCUGUCAGCCACGGCCACAAAACGGACCCUGCCGACCAGUCUCUAUAUAUCAGCCAUUAAUUCGCCUGAGCGGCAGCCCCACCAGCAUCCGCGUUCAGAGAAACCCCCAGUCGUUCUCUGCCUCCCUCUGCUCCUGAACUCCCGUCCCCAUGGGCUCCCGCGACACCACCUCUACCAAGACCGCCCUCUACUCCUACUCCCCCUCUCCUUCCUCCUCGCCUCCUGCUGCCGCCGUGCUCAGCCCCUGCGCCGCCUGCAAGGUCCUCCGCCGCCGGUGCGUCGACAAAUGCGUGCUCGCCCCGUACUUCCCCCCCACCGAUCCGCAAAAGUUCACCAACGCCCAUCGAGUCUUCGGCGCCAGCAACAUCAUCAAGCUCCUGCAGGUAACGCAUCAGCCUAGCUCCCAUGCAUGCACGACUCAUGAGCUUUAGUCAUGCCGAUCGCAUGCAUCUUCGGAUCUCAACGCUGCACGCUGAGAUUACUAACGCCGAGAGGGCGCUGCACCCUCAGGACAUUCCGGUGAGCCAGCGGGCGGACGCGGUGAGCAGCAUGGUGUACGAGGCGAAUGCCCGGAUCAGGGACCCCGUGUACGGCUGCGCCGGCGCCAUUUUCCAGCUCCAGAGGCAGGUGAACGAGCUCCAAGCGCAGCUGGCCCGGGCGCAGGCGGAGGCCGUCAACGUGCAAGCCCAGAACGCCAACGUCAUGGCCCUCAUCUGCAUGGGCAUGUCGCACACUCUCCAUGACGGCGCCGCCCUCGCCGUCGACGCCCUCGCGGCCGCUCCUCUGAACGACUCCUUCUCCCUCGAUGACGGCAGCCUGCACGGCGGCGCCGGCGCCGCCAUUUGGGAGGCACCUAUUUGGACAUGAGCAUCGUCUCUGUCGGUAGCAAAUAAAAGCUGUAGAACAACCUGCGUCGCUGAGUGAUCAUAGUUGCAUCGGUAGGCAAACUACUGCGACAGGCUCGGGAACACUUUGUUAGCAUCAGCUUCUUGUCAAGAGAUCGGUAGACUCCUUUGUCGUUAAUACUUCUUCAUUGACAGUCAUCUCCAUCCUUCAAAUCUGAUAAAGACUUGGAUCUAACAUGAACCGCUCUGCCAACCUAUCGUUCCCAUGUAAGGCUAAAUCUCUAAGCUUCAGAAACCAUUGACAGAGUGAUUGAUGGUUAGGUGCAAGUCAAAUCCAUCUCAAAUGGCUCAGAACUCCAAUAUUCUUCUGACACUGCAAUCUACUUUUUGUUUCUUAGCUAGGUUAGUUGAUCUACCGACUCUCUGGAUGAAACACAUGCCCACACAGUCACAGUCUUGACCCGGCAGUAAUCAGAACAAAUGAUGCGUGAGAGAAGCUGAGCUCCAAGUUCUUGACCUCGUAGUACUUAAUAUCUGCAGGCAUUAUGCUUAAGGAGUUCUUUGUUUCUGGCAGAGCUAUAAACUUCAAAGCUGGAAGUGUGAUCAGGCAUCAGUUGAUCUUCCUUCCGUGGUUUAAUGAUGGAAGAUAAGAACAUCCCUUAAUUCAAUUCAAAAACUUCAAUAUUUAGAUUAUAAGUUAUAUUCCAAUAUAUAUCAUCCGAUUCUCAUAUUUAUCAAUGUGAAACUCGGAUAUUUGUUAUCCGACUAUCUCGAUAUUUACUGUCGUAAGAUUAUAUUUUUGAUCUCUCCGACAGAUCGCAGCUUCACAACUACGUCAUAUAUGCUACUGUUGUGAGGUACUACAAAGUCCAUAUCUGCUCUUCAUGUUCCUGCAUAUCCUGUGAGACCACUUGUCGUGCACUCCCUUGAUGGGUUUCAACUUUCAACCACAAGCUGGUGAUGUGGAAUAUGACAUGGAUUGCACCAAGAUUUGAUGCCUGCCAACAGGAAACAGUUUGACUGAUUUGGACUACCAAAUUAUAGUAGUGCCAACAGUCAACAAAGUGCCAAUUGAUCCUGAGAGGAGACAGCAUGGGAAAUGUCAGGUGCCACAAAGAAGAAAGAGAGAGGAUUCUUUCACCCCACUGUUCACAGAUUGUGCUGUUUGGUGAUAGUGUUUCACAUACUGGAGAAUUCCUUAUGCACAAAAAAGUACACUCCAGCAAAAAUAACAAUACAUUUUCCUCCUGCACCAAGUGCCAAUCUAGAACACAUAUGAAGAGUUUAUUUACCUCAAAUGAAUCAUUCACAAAGAUUAAUCCUGCUAUAUGAUCUGAAGAAGUGGCUGAAUUCCCAGCUUAUCUUUGUAAAAAGAUGCAUUUGGUUGUAUUACUCAGCGGAAAAUAUAAGCAUUUGUUUUUUAUUAUACAAAAAAGAAUAAGGAACUCGGAACCCGAAUAUAAAAAGAUAUUUGCUGCAGUGAUACUGAAUGAUAACUGGGCCAUGAUCAUAUGGUGGAGAGCAUAAUUCCUAGCAGUAGAACUCUCUUUUGGAGAAGACAAGGUUUAAGCAUUAACGCUAUUCAUAAGAGGCAGUCUUCCUUAAAUAUGGCUUUUGUGUGUUCCACAAGGACAGAUUUCAAUUUCAAGAUCACAAUCCAGGAAAAGAACUUGAAUUUUGUAGUGUUCUCUAAUUUCUCUAAUUGACAUGGACAUAUCUAAUCUGAUUGGGAUAGAGAGGACAGAUAUCAGGACACAUCAAUUUGACAAAGCUUCAUUAUAUCUAAUGCAUAUAAAAUUGCCAACUAUAAUCUUAAAGGUCAUCAGUUUUGAACCCUGUUUUUGAAUAGAUGAUGGAUUAAGACAAGAUACAACCUGGUCCUUUCGAAAAAACAAAAUUGGAAGCUGCACCACAGAAGUAGCAUCUUCCAGAUAGACUAUAAGUUACAGAUAACCUUCGAGUAUCAUCAAGAAAGCUAUAGUCUGCAAGACAAAACAAAGAUUAGGCUUUUCGUGAUACCUAUCUUUUGUGUAAUGCUGCAUCCCCCAGCAUUAUUUUCGCAGGCCACCGUAUUCGUGAGAGCAGAACAUCUACAUCAUGACCUAGCAAGCAUUUGCUUGUUUAGUCCACCAGGAUGACGACGACAACAAAAAAAAAAGAGAAGAGGAAGCUCGAAUCGACAUACCGUGUAACCAAUAUCACUUGGGGGUUUUUUUCCACAAGCCACCAAUCUUCCUCAGCAUAUUAGUGUUCUUCUUCUUUGGUGAUUCUUCGUCCAGGUCAUCGGAAAAUGGUGAGCUCAUCAACUUCCCAGCAAUCGAACUGUAGUCAGAAUCCAGUGAACCAGUCCUUCCCAUGCGUCCAUCUUCGUGGCCGGAACUAAGCAUCCCCGCAGCUGCUUCAGCUGCCUUCCUCCAUUGAUCGCACUGUAUCCUUAGCCUCUUCAACUCAGAUUCCAUCUCUGUAUUAACAGCUUGAGCUGCAUCAAGUUGCUCAGCUACUCUGGCAGCCUUCCUGCUGUUCUUAUCAGCUUCUUCAGUAACAUAUCCAAGCCUUAUUAGUGCAUCCUGUUCUGCAGCCUUUGCCAACUCCAGCUCAGCAAUAGUGGUUAAGUUACUUUUUCGAUUGUCCACCUCUCUCUUUCCCAUUUCUGAUUUCAGCAUCUCAUUCUCCUCCAGAAUAUUCUGCAGUUCGGUCUCCUUGUCCAUGAGGUUUGACUUCAACUCUGUUAUCUCAUUAGUUGACUUAAUAAGCUUCAGCUCAAAUUCAGAUUGCAUUUGUGCCUUUUGAACUUCUCCAUUGUCUGUUCUCAGUUUUUUUUCGUCUGCUACAUGCUGAAGUUCUGCUUCCUUCUUGAGUAGGUUAGCCCUUAGUUCUGUAAUCUCUGCUUUUGUAUGAUUCAACAGGAGCUCCAGUGCAGCCUCUUUGAGUCCACUUUCACUUUUCACUCGCUCCAUUAACUCAUAAGCAGACCGGAUCUGCAUUGUGCUUUGGAUUUGGUCCGCUUGAUACUUGACUUCAAGAGCUUCUAGCGCAGACCUUAGUUGUCUUACUUCUGAUUCCAUCGAGUUGUCCCUGGUUUUCUCUGAAAGUUUGCCAAAGUGAACUUCCUCACCAAGAUCAUUUGUGUUCAAAUUCUUCACUUCUUCCAGCGAGUUUACUCUAGCCUCGGAGCUGAAGGAUUCCUUGAGCUUCAACCCUUCAGAAUGUAGAGUCUUGAUAGUGGUCUUAGCCAUCUCUAGCUGCUCUCGAGUCUCAUCAACCAAUGUAUGAGCCUCAACCUCCGACUUCUUGCUAUUUCUAAGCUGAACCUUUAGGUUUUCAAUGGUUGAAAGUGUUUCUGCCAUGUCUUGCUUCAAAUCCUGAAGUUCAGUGCGUGCUACUUCAGACUGCUUCAGAUACGCAGCCUCAGAUUUGAGAACCAUUUCAAGCUGCACUUUCAGCCUCUGUAUCUCAUUCAUGGCAGAGCUCAAGGCCGCUGAGUCAAUAGAAUGUUGUUUCUGGAUUGCUUCUAGCUCUGACUGCCAUGCACGAUCACGCUCCUGAGAGAUUUUCCGUAAUUCCUGCAGGCGAGCUUCUUCUGCUGCUGAAAACUCAACAAGCUGGCAUUGGGAAUUAUCUAGCUUGGCUGACAUGUCCUGAAGCUGCUUCUUGGCCUCUUCUGCUUCCUUCUGCAUCCGUUUCUUACAUGUUUCAGACGAAUUAAGCUGUUCUCUUGUUUUCUUCAAGUCCUCUUGAAGCUGGAAGAUCUGAGUAUCCAACUCGGACAACCUAGUAGCAUGCCUCUUCUGGAACUCGUUCAUAAGAUAAUAGCUGAUUUAAUGGUUGUAACAAACAGAAACAGCAUAAUAUAAUAGCAAGAUGGUGAACUCUGUGGGAAAGAUGUUUAGACUUGGCUACCCUUGGUGUGUGAUAGUACACAUGCUGGCCAUCAGAUUUCAAAUUGGAAAGCGAUUGGUGUAUUUAUUUUAAGAAAAAAAGAUUUAUCGGAUAUCUGAAAUCGCAAAGGUGAUGAAAUCUUAAAUUGUAAGCAUUGCCUUUUUGUUGUUAGUAAGAUUGCAGAAUCCUAUUGAAAAGCAGUGAUUGGUGUGGACAUCUGGUACAUAGUGGCAAGAUGUCAAGUAAGGCAAAUGUAAAUGCACAUUACAAAUAUAGAAACUAUUUUGUCAUGAAUGGUUCAAAAUUUGGGGUCGGACAUUAAUGAUGUUCAAUUUCCUUAACAUUUGAAACAGGUUGAGGUAGUCAGUCCUAGAUCCAUGUGUCAGCAAUUACGCUACAGAAUAAUGGCGUUUUGUUGGGAGCCUUGUGCAUUGGGCCACCCUACUUAUGAGUUAACUUGAUAGGGAAUCCAGGGCACCUUGUGGGAGUUUCUAUCAUCCAAGAGUUCGCUGUUAAGUUGACUUGAUAUUACAUUAGAUUAUGUAAUGCACAGUCUGAUUGGUUCCUUCAAAGAUAUGUUAGAAACUUUAUAAAUCUCAAGUUUAAUCAUUUCUCUUUGACUUUAAGACUCCUCCAUGCACGGACAUGAUACCUCAUUUAAACAUUUAAAUUUAGUAGCCAAUUUGCUUGUCUACUCAUGUGCAUCGAAGAGUACAAAUAGAAUGACUUCACCAUGCAUGAAUAUUAUACCUCGGUCACUGGACUUCUAGGUGACCGGCGCACGAUCACCUUAGGACUCCUUUCACUGGGGUUCCUGAUUGAUGUAGCAGAAGUAGAAGAGUUGGAUCCAUUAUCGCCAAUCUUGCUUGCACGAGUUUUAGGGGUGACUGGUGAUGUUCUUUGAGGAAUUUCCAGUGACACGCUCCUGUGUCAAGCAAAAGAACUCAAUUGCUUGUAGAUAUCAGUGCACAUACAGCGUUUGACAGAACAAGUGCAAAAAAUGAUGGUAGAUCACUAGCUAAAUAAUCGCUUUUUGUACUGUUUCCAGGUAAGUUAUGGCACAUAAAUAGUCUAAAUGAAUGAUCAACAAACAAAAGGUUGGUGAAAUGUGAACAAGUUCUCUAAUCCAAAAGUAGAGCACCAAUAAGAAACAAAGGAGCAGACUUUGGAAAGCAGCAAGUGGUUCUCCAAUACAAAAGAACUAAUUAUGAAGCGUGGAUAAGGAUUGAGACACUACGACUUGACAUGGAAAAAGCAAUUAAAAAAAUAUCUAAUAUGUACAAUUGUACGUAUAACAAAGAUAGGCAUUUCUGUUUAGUGUUAGAGUAGGUAGUCAUAUACCAUGAAGCACGUAGCAUUCAUAACAUAUUCAUCAUCGAAAAUCUAAUUCUUAGUGACAGUAUGCCAAAAAUAUAUACACAACAAGAACUUGUGGUCGGUGAAGUUAAAGAUUGUUCCAUUAAUUUCAUCGAUCACCGAUGUUUGGUACGAAUGACAUAUAUGCAAUUUAUCUAAUCAUAUAUUCAUUUAAAGAGUAGCAGUCAAUCAGAACAAAGUUCUCCCAACAAGUAUUGAUGAACCAUCCAAUAAUAUCUUGAAGGUAAUGUGGUCUUCUCAGACACCUUGCGGAGGUGUCCCAUGCAUAGCUGAGAAGUAUCCUGUAAGUAGAGUAUUCAAUUUGUACCCAAUACGAUCACACCAAUCAAAUUGAAGUAUCCAUGUUUCAUAGACCCUCGUAGAAGAACUCGAUAAGAGUCUCACAAAAAGAAAUAUGCUCGAGUAAAGAUCUACAGGUAUCCCCAUAAGUAGCAUAUUCAAUAUGUACCCAAUAUGGUAACACCAAGCAAAUUGAAGUAUCCAUGUUCAUAGAUCCUCGUAAAAGAACUUAAUAAGAGUUUCACCAGAAGAAAUAAAAGGAGAUCCAGGAAGAAACCCCAUAUGCAUCACAACCUUCAUAUCCUUGCAUGACUUUGUGAAAUCAUAAUUAUGAUUCCACCAACCAAUAAACAAUAACUAAAUUUCUAUGAUUGAAACUAAAAGUUUGAGUAAAGAAGCAGAAAUAUUAAUUCUCUUACUCAAGCUUGCAAACAAAAUAUCCUGUGUAAAGAGCUGUUUAAUGAAGCCACAUAAUAACUGCAGAUCUAGGUAAUAAACAGACAGUAGAAGGUACAAAAAUAGCAUGAUCAUAUUGCAGCUAUGACCCACUAAUUCAUGCUUAUAAGAAGUUUGUCGCAGGCAUGCAGGAAGAAGGGAAGAGUCCCUCUUACCACAUCCAGUUCAUAGUCCAGACAAAGAACAGAGUAUACCCUUAGACCCAACCAUGUCAUAGUAAAACGAUCAUACACUAAACUAUGCGAUAGCAGAAGCAAGUAUUUUAUGGCAAAAGUGCGAAAGAAGAAAAGACAGGCCUUUGUUUGGUUGUCUGCAUCUUCUCUCGCUGAGACUGUCCUCCUUUGUCCACAAGCCAGACCUGCAGGCAGGAAAGAACAGAUCGACCAAAGAGAAAGACAUAUCAGGUGAGCUUAUUGUUUGUUGAUUAGCUUGAACAUGAACGAGGUAAAUCUGUCACGUAGACUCCAUAAUGAUGUUGGAGUGCCCAUUCAAGGAAAAAUGCCAGUGAUCAAUCAAUUGAGUCAACAGAUUGCUAACAAGACCACCAAAUGAUGACGACGGAGUAAAGUAUCCGUAGAAAUAAAGAAUCAGCUCAGAAAGGCUGUAUAUUUAGGAGGAAGAUGUCAACUUUACCUUCGAAAAAUUCACACUACAUUACCAACGAAUACGUCCGGAGCCAAAAAAAAAUGAAGGAAACGGGGAAAAAAAAAAUAGAAGCUUUCAAGUUCUCAUCUGAAGCGAUUACAUGACAAACGAGCAAAUGUGGAGCAUAGUUCAUAGAGAAGCAUGUAACGUAGCAUUUGCUUGCUCUUCCGGAAAGCUUCGGAAGAGAUGAACAAAGGGAAAUAGAAGCCGCCGCUAACAUAUAUGAUGCGGAGAACAAAAAAAAGGAACUUUUCCGAUCAAAUCAAAAGAAACCAACAUCAGGAAGUAGGAAGAGCAAAGGCAACAGAAAAUAGAUCUAUUGUUCAAAGGGGGAAGAAAAAAGCUCAGUUUUUUGCCGCACAUUUCCCUGCUUCGCAAUAGAAUGCUGAACAAAAACGAAGAACCGGAUGGAGAAAAACCGGAAAGAUUGGAUCAGCCGGCGAUCUUCCUAGUGGCUUCUUCUUUCUUCUUCCUCCUCCUCCGUCGCAGUUCCCCAGGCCUUCACCGCCUCCUGUCCUCUGCACUCCCCUGAGCAAGUGAGAAGACACGCACUGUUACUAAAGAAUAAUAUAUUGUAGGAAUCACAAGGCGCGAGCACUAUGACUUGUCUGCACCGCGGCCAUGGAGAUUGGAGAUGGACGAGCAACGAGGAGCGUUAGAUUUCGUCGCCGCGCUCGGAGGGAGGCUUACAUUAUAUUGCAUUGUCACACAGCGUCCGGGGGUUACUUGAAGGCGUUGCGGCCGUCGUCACCCGCCUCGCCUACAGGCGGUGCUCACACCGCUUUGUUGACCGCAGGCCUCGAUUUGUCAGCAUCUCAGCGGAGACUGACGACAAGGAUCGGCUCACCGCCCUGUGAUCACCCCCGCGACACUAUGCCUAUUCGAAAUAGACAGUCCCGCAGAAGUGUGCGCGUGCGGGCGUUCGUGUGUACGUGUAAGAGAGAGAGAGAGAGAGAGAGAGAGAUGUUUACCGGUUAAAAGCAAACAUGCGUUUCAAAAUAAGCGUUUUGAAGUGUGAUCUGAUGGAAUUAAUUCUUCAUUAAAAAAGGGGUGUCUGAUUGUAUAUCACUUGCAGUAGCCAAAUUUUUAGCAAUAGUUGCUUAUUUGAUUUGUCAUUAAAAGAUAAAAAAACAUUUAUUAGAAACAUCUAAGUUGAUUAAUAUAUUAUUCAGUAAAUAAUUGAUCUAAGUUUGAGACAUAUAAUAAAUUUUUUUAAAAAAAUUAAAAAAUAUUUAUUUUUUGAUGAUUUUAUAGAUGGUUAAAUCAUCAAACAACACUAAAUUAAUAGAUUUGUUUGAGAGUUUAAACAAAAUUAAAAGUUAUUUUCUUGAUUAAAGUAAAAAAAAAUCUUAAUUCUAACUUCUACAAAUAGGGGUUAAUGUAAUGCAUUGAAUAUAAAUAAGUGAUUUGGUUAUCAAUUUCUCUAUUAAUCAUUAUAUAUAAUUUGUUACUGCAGACAUAAUAAAUUAUGCACCAAUACAAUUGAAAAUAUUGUCAUGUAGUUUUACUCUUUAAUGACACUCAUUUCCAUCUUCAAUCAAUGCAAAAAAAAUGUUUGGUGGUCAUCAUCAUUUGAGGAGGACUAGGGAUCUCAAUUGACUUUGGGGUCCAGUAACCAGCAAAUACAAGCCUUUCUGCUCUCCAAAAACAAGGAAAAUAAGGUAAUUAAACAACAACACUAAGCCUACUUUGUGCUUAAUUCCCAGGUUUUGUAACUCAAAAACAUGUUAUGGCUUCAGCAGCUCAGUAGCAAUUCAAUUGAAGAACUCAGUUGGUGAGAAGCUGAAGUAGCAGACUGACAAUCAACAAAGAAGACAAUUCCUGGAGCUGUAGAUGCAGUGAAAGGGAAUCCAGACUUGCAGCAGCAGCAGCAGUAGCUGUAGCAGUGGAUAUGCUCAGAAGACCCCCCACAUUGGUCAUUUAAGUCCGACACAAGCAGGUGGUUCCUUUCAGAAGAGCUCUGAUCACCCUGACAUCCAUCAGCAAAACAAUUCAUUGACUCUGAAUCAGUAUCUCUUUGAAAUGCCAAUACAGAGUCCACUCAAACAUACAUAAUUACUUGGUGCCCUUUAAGGUGGAGGGGCAAAUGGAAGAAGGUGGGUGACCACAAUGAGGAGAGUGUGCCACAUUCAAAAGGUAAGGUUCCUUGCUUUGCAAAGGAAGUAACACUUCAUCAACUAAGGACCCAACCAAAGAUCUUAAUGGCUCUCCACAUAAAGUUUCUUUGAGUGGAACAGCCACCACAUGUAAAGUUCUUUGAGUUGCUGUGCUUGCAUCUUAGUGCUGAUGACAUUUGGUGUUUCUGCACUUUGGUUGUCAUUAUGGUUUGUAGAUUGUGGCUCAAACUUGUAUGAUUCUUCUCAAUAGUCACAGGAAGGAUUGUUGGAAGCUAUCAUGCCAAUCUCAAACCUAAGUGUUCUUUUUCUUUGAGUCACUUGUUCUCAAAGCAACAUUUACUGAUUCUUGACAUAUAAUAAUAAAUUAGCAAGCAGAUUUAAUUACCUUUUUAUGAUUUUUUUUCCUUUGUCAAUGUUUUAAUCUGACACCACUUGUUGAAAAACAGGAUAUAAUAUAAGAGAAGAAUUGGAUAAAUUUUAGUUAUAGCUCCUCUACUGCUGCUAACAUAUAUUAUUUUGUCAUCAUUCAUAGCAUUUAUUACAAUUUAGUUGCAUAUACAACUUCAGAUUUGGCUUGAUUUAUUACAUGUAAAUGCUUUGUAGAUCCAAGCACCUUAUGGAGAAAGAAAAUGUACUUAGGACUAAUAUUUGUUCAUUCAUGUAUUAAUUCAUCUGUAAAUUGCUUUCUCACAUCUACAUGAACUCAUGAUUUGAAUUAUGAAAAGAUGUAAACAUGAUGAAGAUUCAAAUGCUGACAUGAAGAUGAUUAGAUUGGAGCAGCAACAACUUAUUUGAGCACCAACAUAAAUGAUUCAAGAGGAGAUCUUACACAGCCUGUGAAGCUGAUUAAGCUUACACAUUAUGAUGAAGGUUUCUUUUAUUUAUACUAUCCUUAGUUUCCUUCUAACCAGCAUUGCAAUGAUGCUGCACACUAAAGCAAAGCUUAUUUUAUGGUAAGGUAUUGAUGGCUAUGUUAUCUUUUAUCUGCUAUCUUAAUGAUCAGAUCAUUAGGAAUCAAGAAAACACAGCUUGCAGUGCAAGAAACCAGUAUCACAGUUCAUCUGCUCUGGAUGAUUAAGACAUUAAGCUGCACAGCUAAGCACUCUGAGUUGUGAGAUAGAGAGUUGCUUAACAACUGAAUUAAAAUUGUUGGCAAUGUAGAAUUAACAUAUCCACUUGCAAUUUUAGUUCCCAUGCCAUGUGAAUUUCUCAUGAACUUGAUGAAUUGAUGACCAACUUAAACUAUUUCUUCUAUAAGAUUUGGAAUCAGUAAUGUAUUAGAGAUCUUUGUGUGAGUUACUUCAAUUCCUUGAAGAGUUAGAAAAUUAUAGGUCUAAUAAAGAGCCAAAUACUAUUUUCCUUAGAAAAAACAGUCUUUUAGUGAAUAUUUUUUUAUAGUUCAAAGAGUUUAUAGAUUGUGUCAUGAUUGACAAACGUAGGCAAAAAAAAAAACAUCAUUACUUUAUGUUAUUUGAGGUAAUAUAUUUAUCAAAUUAUUAUGUUGUAAAUAAAUUAUUAAUUUCAAAAGAGGAGAUGAGUUGAUCGACAAGAUUAUCAAUUAAAUAUUUUAAAUUAAUUAGAUCAAAAAAAUAUUUUUUUUAUUGAGUCGCAUUAUAACAAAUUGAUAUUAUUGCGAACCGACUAAUUUUCCUUUGGGUUGGAUCACAACAAUUUAGACGGAAAUUUCACGUUCUAAUGCAAAAGUUGCCAUUAAGAUCCAAGUCAGAAGGUCAACUAUUGUGUUUCGAAGAGAUAGGAGGCGGCAGACCAGUUUUCAAGAAGGUUGGCGCAUUCUUUGUUCUCGUGCGUGUGGAGGAGAGGUUAGGCGCGUUGACGGCGUCCAAUCCACAUGAGACGAAGGCGGUGGGAAGGCGUCUUUCGUCGCCUGCAACAAUUUAUGGUGGAAGAGCAACUAAUCUCGUCUUCGUUGUCAACGCCGAUGGCUAACAGAUACCAAACCCCUUUGACGAACGAAUGAUAUGGCUAUUGUACUUAUUGCAUUCAUUUGAUAUUUUAAUGAGAUGAAAGAGUCCAAAUUUUAUCGUAUUUUAAGUCCUUAAGGGUCAUAAUAAAUUCAACAAUUUGUGACAUGGCUAUUUUUUAAAAGACAACAAUUUAUGAGUAAGAAAAUCUAGUUUAAAAAAUAAUAAAAAUUUUAUAUUAAUUAUGAACAUAUAUAAUUUGAUAGAAAAUAUAUUAACGAUCCAUCGGUCGCUAUACAAACAAUAUGUGAAAGCUAUCGUGAAAAAAAAUGAUUCAAGUCAGUCUCCACCUGUAUGAACAAAAGUUUAAAAUAGACUAAUUGAAACGGUCUCUCCCCAAUCGAUAUUAGGAUAAUUACAUGCUAUCCUCUCUGUGGAUCAAGUUAGGUUAGAUAUAAAAGCUAACUCUCGAUGUUAUAUCGAGAGGUUUUCUAUUUUAGCAAAAUUCAUAUAUAAAUAAAAUAUAGGAUUAACUUGAAUAUUAGAGUAAUCGGAUCAAAAAAAUUUCUUUCAACAUUGGUCUUAAUGCAAACGAUUUUAAUCUCGAGAGCUUACUCUUAUUUCGGAGCUAUCUUGAAACCACUUUAGAUAUUUAUGUGCCCUCGAACUUGAAUCAUAUUGAAUUAAUUCAGAUGUUACUGAUGAUGAAAUGAUUUUAAAUUAUCAAUCGAUAUUUACUUGAUCAAACAUUGAUCAAACAUUGGCUGUACUCGUGAUGUGAGGCAACAAAGUAUUUAUUCCUUUAGACUAAAAGAGAAAAAAGAAUAUGGCAUCAAAUACCUUCCUAUCAUUGUAAUCGUGCUUCCCAUCAUCUUCUCUUGUCAUUAUUCGAACAAGACGACGACGACUAACUCCUACAUUGACAGUGAAAACAAUGUUCAAAAUUGCAGGCAUUGCCAACAUGCUUCUUAUCGCAUCGACUCGUAAUUCUAUUAUCAAUGGUCAAGAUCUUGAUAUGGAUCGAUGGGGCCUGAUAGGAGCACGCAUCACCGUUCGAUCUAAACUUCAAUCAGCAUGGAGGCGUAAACCAUGUGAGGGUGCGUUAGGUGUGAAGUCAGUGAGACGUCCAAAUAAAGACUUGGUUGUGUGCGUAUGUGAAGUCCACUGCCUACCUGUCGCUACGCAGCCUAUCCUCUCUCUUUGACCGAGCUGGCAAAGAAGCCCAUGUGCGUUCAAUUUACACUCGUCGGUGCCACCAAAGACUUGAGUAUAUUAAUCGGCAACGUGGCAUCACAUUUAUGAGUGGGUUAUUAUGAAGACAGGCGUAAUCCAACUCAAAUCAACUUGUUAUAACUCAGCAAUAUAUAUAUAUAUAUAUAUAUAUGAUUUUUAAAAAUAAUUAUAUUUAAAAAUAUUUCUCAAUCGAUACCCUUAUUUUUAUUUUUUUCAAACAGUAUUAUUAAUUUAAAAAACUUAAAUUAUCUCUUAAAACUUUUUCAACUAGUAUAAUGCUUUGGUCACUAUAAUAAAAAUAUUAUAAAUAAUUUAAAUAGAUUCAUAAUCUCAAUCAAGUUAAAUAUAAAUUUAAAAAUAUAAUACUGCAAUGAUCUACGAGUUAUGAUAUAGAAAUAUGAUGUGAUGUCAUUUAUAUUAUUUUUUAAUAAUAUUUAUAGUAUUUUAGUAUAUCAUAAAAUACUAUAAAUAUUAUUGUAUAUUUCGAUCACACACACACACACACACACACACACACACACACAUAUAUAUAUAUAUAUAUAUAUAUAUAUAUAUAUANNNNNNNNNNNNNNNNNNNNNNNNNNNNNNNNNNNNNNNNNNNNNNNNNNNNNNNNNNNNNNNNNNNNNNNNNNNNNNNNNNNNNNNNNNNNNNNNNNNNNNNNNNNNNNNNNNNNNNNNNNNNNNNNNNNNNNNNNNNNNNNNNNNNNNNNNNNNNNNNNNNNNNNNNNNNNNNNNNNNNNNNNNNNNNNNNNNNNNNNNNNNNNNNNNNNNNNNNNNNNNNNNNNNNNNNNNNNNNNNNNNNNNNNNNNNNNNNNNNNNNNNNNNNNNNNNNNNNNNNNNNNNNNNNNNNNNNNNNNNNNNNNNNNNNNNNNNNNNNNNNNNNNNNNNNNNNNNNNNNNNNNNNNNNNNNNNNNNNNNNNNNNNNNNNNNNNNNNNNNNNNNNNNNNNNNNNNNNNNNNNNNNNNNNNNNNNNNNNNNNNNNNNNNNNNNNNNNNNNNNNCGAUGAUUAAAGGAAUAAUGCCCCCAAAUAAAACAUUAACGCUUCGUGUCGAUGGACGAAGUCUUCACCUUCUCUUCUACCCAUUACCAUCAGAGUCUCUUGUCUCCUCUCCCCCCAACCCCGCCCUCUCUCUCUCUCUCUCUCUCUCUCUCGCUCUCUCGCUCUCCCUCUGCCUAAUAAAUCCGACCCACGUCCACUCCCCCCUCUUCCUCCACAGACAUCAACUGUAACCCCUAUCUCUCCGCCUCCUAGAUCCAAGAACCGAUCGAGAUCCAUCCGUAGAUCGACGAGCCUGCCGAUCCAAGAAACGAUCGGGUCGGCCGGGAUCUGUCUCCCCGUCGGUAUCCGCGGGUCGGCGUUAGAUCGGCCCAUCCCCUAGACGUAGAUCGACGGAUCCACGCAGGAGGAACAGCGGCCGAGAGGCAGCGGAGGCGGAGGAGAUGAGCGCGAAGGCCGCCCUGUCGCCGGCGCUGGCGACCGGACGGUUCUUCACCGUCGGGCUUGUCACCGCGUGGUACUCCUCCAACAUCGGGGUGCUCCUCCUCAACAAGUACCUCCUGAGCAACUACGGGUUCAAGUACCCCAUCUUCCUCACCAUGUGCCACAUGACGGCCUGCUCCCUUCUCAGCUACGUCGCCAUCGCCUGGCUUAAGGUUGUGCCGAUGCAGGCCAUCCGGUCCCGCGUACAGCUGUUCAAGAUCGCCACCCUCAGCCUCGUGUUCUGCGGGUCGGUGGUCAGCGGGAACAUCUCGCUCCGCUACCUCCCCGUCUCGUUCAACCAGGCGAUCGGGGCAACCACCCCCUUCUUCACCGCGGUGUUUGCUUAUCUCAUGACUCUCCGGCGGGAGUCGUGGCUCACGUACAUUACCCUCGUGCCUGUCGUCACGGGUGUUAUUAUUGCCAGUGGGGUAAGCUUUCUUGAUCACAGUAGGAUGGCAAGAUCUUGUUUCUUGAUUACAUCUGCCAGUUAGAAUAUAUCAAGAUUGUUGUUUCUUGGCCACAGUCAGAUUACAUCUAUUUGAUUCCUAUGAGAUAUGCCGUAUCAAGGGUUCUUGAACCAUAUUGAAUGUUGGAUUAUCUCCUUCCAGGACAUAGAAUAUUUGAAUGUCGCAAUUGGGGAUCCAGAAAAGGGGAUUUGGAUUAACACACACACUGAUCUAGUUGAUUUUCGUGAAAUAUGUUGUCUCAAGUGUGCUUAAAUCAUGUACGAUCUUGGAUUAUCUCUCUUUCCAGCACAUAAAUGAUAGAACACAUGAAAGGGCAUAACCUUUAUUAUGUUGAUUUAUUUCUGUGGGUGUGAAUAGGAUGAACAUUGUUGCGAUGCAAUGCUAUCUGUUUUCACAUCAUUCGUUAUUAGAUGUUUCUAUCAUCAUUAGUAGACAAGCACGAAUUCUUGUCAUGAUUGAGUAACACAUUUGUAAUUCUUUCCAUCUUAUAUAUCAUUCAGGUCCUCAAAUGUCAAUUUGGUGAGCUGUUAGAUUUAUUUGUUCUGCAUGAUCAUUAAAAUGUCUCUCUUUUCCUCUCUUGGUCUUUUAGGUUUCUUUACUGGCUUCUUGUGUUGAAGUAUUGUGUUGACCAAUCUUCUUUUGUAUUUGUAAAAUCUACCUUUAUUUCUCUCUCUCUCUCUCUCUCUCUAUAUAUAUAUCUAUCUAUCUAUCUAUCUAUCUAUCUAUCUAUCUAUCUAUCUAUCUAUCUAAGCACCACUAGGUGUGUGUUUUGUAAAUAAAGAAACAAUAACAUUAAACCUUUGAGUGACAUAGUAGGAAGCUGGCAAAUAUAUGAUUUUUUUGGGGGCAAAACUAAGUCUUGUUUUAUUAGGCUUUAUUUCUCUUCUUGACAUUUAUUGCUCUGAUCUCAUAUGACAGCAGAUGUUAGACAUUAUUACGACCGUAUAGAUAGUCAACCUCCUUGAUGUAGAGACAUAAGUUGUUUCCUAAAUUAUGUGCUUCGAUGGUUGUGCAAGGGAUUUCUUCAACACAUGGGAUUAUACAGAUAAUAAUCUUUUGUCUUUCCAGAUUUAAGACUGAAAGAUGUGAAAACUGACACUCUGAUGGUUCAACUUUAUAGGGGGAGCCAAGUUUUCAUUUGUUUGGUUUUCUUAUGUGCAUCGGUGCUACUGCUGCCAGGGCACUUAAGACGGUGUUGCAAGGAAUUUUGAUGUCAUCUGAGGGGUGAGUUCUGUAUUCCAUUUGUUAAUUAAGAAAUCCUUUAUUGAAAAUUUCAGGUUUUUUCCAUAAUUACAAAUGUUGAUAGCACUUUGUAAUAGGAGGCUCUUUUGAGAUUUCAUAUUUUACAUAACAUAUGUUCUUAUUCACAUGCGUCAUGUCCAGGGAAAAGCUGAACUCUAUGAAUCUCCUCCUAUAUAUGGCUCCAAUAGCAGUAAUUUUUCUGCUUCCUGCAACAAUUAUAAUGGAGGAGAAUGUCAUUGGUAUCACACUGACACUUGCUAGAGAAGACUUCAAAAUUAUUUGGUACCUCCUGUUCAAUUCUUCUUUGGCAUAUUUCGUGAACUUGACCAAUUUUCUGGUCACAAAACAUACAAGUGCUUUGACCCUACAGGUAAGUUUCAUGGGAUUAAUACUUAUUCUAUGUUCUGUAUUAUUAAAAUUCUUUAUUUUUUAACAAUUAAAGUUUAAGUAAAUGCAUAAAGUAUGACAUUUCUCAAAUUUAUUUCCUUGGUUAUUGUCCCCCUCCCCAAGGUUCCUUCCUAUUUUUUCCCCAUCUUCCUCAAAUUGAUUUUGCAUAAAACUCUGAACUUUCUGUAGAAGUUAAUAUCUUGUGUCCUUCAAGCUCUACAAUAUUUUUAUUUCCCUAUCUGCACAUUUUUGUUUUUUGUUACCAUAAAUAAGAAUGUGGCACAAUGUAACACCAUGCAUAAAGAAGCCCGUGCCUAAAAGAAUUGUAGAAACUGUCUACUUGAUGGUUUGCAGAGCCAUGCUUGUGUUAAUUUAUUGUUUUUUCUUUGAUGGCUAUCACAGUCCACUUAAUGAACUUUGACUAUUGUUUUGUUACUAGCAUUCAGCAUAAAUAUACUUUUGUGAUGUGGUAAUACAAUAUAUGUAGGCUCCAAAAAAAGGCCAAAAUUGGAGAAGCAAAAUAUUUUAUGUUGUUAUCUGUUACUUUUAUAUAAUUGUUUGUUGUUGAUUUUGUCAAUUUUUAAUAUUUAGAAAUUUGCUGAUUUGUUAACCACAUCAUUACCAUGACUGGUCUUGGUUUAAGGAAAUUUGCUUGUUUCCUUAACCCUGCAAUCGAAGAAGCCUUAUACCCUGGACCGCCCUCAUCUACAUCUUCCAACAAGGUUCUGACCAAGUUCCAGCUGGUCUUGGUUUCAGUUGCUUUUGAUCCUUCCUUGUUCUCUGAUGCGAUCCUAAUCCUAAAACCCAUUAUUAUUUGUGAGUAACAAUCUAUACUUGUUCUUUUAGAGCUCCUUUAAUUUUGAUUGCACACUCUCAAGUCUUCAGGAAUUUCUGACCUACAUGAUUAGAAGCCCCCUAGGAUUGUCUCCUUAUAUAACUAUUGUUGGCAAUUUUGAUCUUGAAGAUUUCUGAUGUCAUGCCUAUAUUCGUAAGAUGAGAUGAUUUAGGAGCCACCUAGAUAAUUGCUGCCACUCUAUCUAGUUGAUUUGCUAACCUGCACAAUUUUUGACAAGAAGCUGGGUUACCAAAUGUUAAGGAGUUCCAAGCAAUCAUGCAAACCUUGCAAUGUGAUGACUGUAUAAUGAUUGUAUGGUGUAUGCAUCCGGGAAAUCUCUGCAAAUGGACAUACUGGCAUAGGCAUAGCAGUUUGAUAGCUGUUGAACUAAAUCUUUAACUUUCAUGUUUAAAUCUUAUAAAAUAUAUCCGAGUGAAUAUCUUGUUUUCUAGUGAUAUUGUUUUUACUGUUAAGAGCAGUGAAAGAUAUGAACUGCUCAAAUUGGAUUUUAUUAGUUUGUGCAGUAAAAUAACAGAAUAUAGACAGAUCAAGAAGUGAAACCAAACUGUAAAUGUGAAUGGCUACAUUUGAAUUAGCCACAGUGUGGUUUAAAUUAGGUUUGACCGAAGUUGUUUUAAUCAAGUUGGCUCAAUCUAAUUGAGUGAACUUAACCAAGCCACAAAAUGAGAUGCCACCAAAAUUUUCUUCUGAGUAUAUGCACAGGGUGUGUACCCUUGUAAUAAGAAAGUGAGGCACCAAAAAAGUAUGGCAUUUUGGUUGAUUGCCCUAAAAUGUUUAAACCCUUGUAAUCAUGUCUUGCAGAAUGGAAACUCUUAUUGUACAGUUCGUAAUGAUUGUUCCUUUGUCCGUUGAUUGUAUGGAUUGGGAUAACAUGAUGAGUUUUAGAAAUAAUGGAAAAACCCCUUUUGGUUGUUGAACAUCAGAGUUUCUGUUGAACUGGAAAUUAGUACUUUUGAUUCUGAAUACACAGUGCUCUCAUUCAUACUGCUUUUGUGUGUUGUUGAAAAUAAUGUUGAUUGUUUAUUUUGUUUUCAAAGGUUCUUGGAAAUGCAAAAGGCGCGGUGGCUGUUGUCAUCUCAAUCCUGAUAUUUAGGAACCCAGUAUCUGUAACAGGAAUGGCUGGUUACACACUUACAGUCAUUGGUGUCAUUCUUUACAGCGAAUCUAAGAAGCGCAACAAAUAAAGGUGUGCUUCAGGGAGCCCAUACAUCACGUGACAGCCCUCCAGCCUCGCUGAUGACGUUGGCUCCCACUUGUUCAACUGUAAACUUAGCUGGAUUCAAUAUCUGCAUCAACAGUGAUCAUAUAACCAUAGAGUAAAGAGAGAAAUUGCAGUCAGUAUGUGGAUUUAUACUUUUUAGUCAGGAGGCGUUCUCGAACACCAUUCAUCGGUAGAAACAUUUAUGGUCUACAUUCUUUGCCAGCGCAAGUGUUAUUAUAUCGUUAUUGUUGAGAUUGUGUUGUUGUAACUUAAUUAUAUCACCGUUUUUAUUAUUAUUUUUUGUCCCCAAGUGAAUUAAUCAGACCAACAGGUUAAAGAUCUUGACAGUGUGGUGAUUUUUAGUUCUGUAGGGUAAAAAUCAAUUACAAAGCAACUAAACUUAAAUUAAGAUCUUGACAGUGUGGUGAUUUUUAGUUCUGUAGGGUAAAAAUCAAUUACAAAGCAACUAAAAUUAAAUUAAGAUCUUGAACACCCAAUUUGAACGAGUCUUCUGCUUUUCUGAUGUGUUGAAAUGUUUUACAUGUUCCAAAACAAGGAUAGCAGUUGCACUGCAGAUCUCCACAUUAGUAAACAGGUAAAAAGCCUCGGUUGAGACAUGUAACCGGAUGUCUUCCCAUGGCUACCUAUCUGCAAACGCUCCAAUAAAAUUAGCUGUGUGGUUCCAGUCAAAAUUAUUAGCCAUUUUAGAAAUUAUAUUAAGCAUAUUCUUACAGAAGUCAAAAGUCAGAAGAGAAAUCAACGAAUAACAAGAAAGCCAUGACUUCCCAAAACAACAGGAACAGUUUUCAAACUAUCAUGAACAAUUAAGUUACAAUGGACAUUCAGAAGGGCUUACCUUAUUUUGGGCAGAUAAUCCAACAAGUGCAUUAAGUUGAUAAAAAUACUUGCAGUGAUGCUUGUUAUUUUAAGAUCAGAACGAAAAACAUAAAAAAGAAAGAGUUGCAAAAGGAAAUUAAUGGAGUAAUCCCAACUGAUAAUAAACGCAAUCUGAAACUCAUGAUUUUAAACGCAAUCUGAUAAUAACUUUAACUUUUCAUUUGAUAACUUUGUAAUCAACUGUUUUUCAUAGUUUAUAUCAUAAAUUGUAACCCUCGUGUGAACGAAGUUACUAGUCCAAGACAUCAACAAAAUUAUGGAUCCUCAAUGUCAGAAGGAAACUUUGCUCCCUUUACUAAAUUUUGUUCUUGUUCCGUAUCUGUCAACCCGACGAAAAGUGCAUGCCAAAUUGUUAUGUAUGAAGGUAAAUGGCAUACAGUCAUAACUCAAUUUCAGGGUUAGAUCACAAAAAAUAAACAUGAACUUAUAGUUGUUAAAAAACAAAAAUCAUAAGCAUAUAUAAUGCAAUCGUGUAGAAAAUUCAAAGCCAACGAAGAAAUAUUUUCCAGCAGAUACAAGGUGGCCCAUCAUGUGGUGUGGUGAAUCAAUGUGUACGAUAUGUUCUAUCUUUGCAAGAAGUGAAAAAGCUUAAAUACAUUAACAUGUCCCUCUCCUAUUUAUACAGAAAAAAGAAAGGAUUUUCCUCAACAGAAUAGAGGAUUUUUGUUAACAGAAUUGAAAGAUUUCCUUAUAUAGUUGGAAAAAUCUUAUCUUCUAUCAUGCCCCCGCAAGAUAGUACUCCUGUCAAGGAUACCAAUCUUGGAUCGAUGCAAAAAAUGAUUUACGAGUAGAGGCUUCAUAAGUAGGACAAGAGCAAAUCGUUGCUGCGAUUGCUGUUGUUGUGAGGGCACAGGUGUUCCCUUCGUUCUCCGUAAGUCCGUCGACUGCUAGCAGAUCAGCGAAGACUAUCGCGAUGAGAAAGAUGAGGAUUGAUUGUGGAGCCUCUUAGGAAUAUGGCUACAGCGGCGUUGGUCGAUGGCCGAAGUCAAAGGCGAAGCUUCGCUUUUCUCAGCGGUGUUAGUCGCUGGCCAAAGGCAAGAGUGAAAUUUUGCUUUUCUCAUUGNNNNNNNNNNNNNNNNNNNNNNNNNNNNNNNNNNNNNNNNNNNNNNNNNNNNNNNNAAGCUUCACCCUUGCCUACGACCAACGACCAACACCGCUGUAGCUACAUUCCUAAGAGGCUCCGCAGCCAAUCCUCAUCUUCCUCACCACGGUAGUUUUUGCUGAUCUGCCAAUAGUUGGUGGAUUUAAGGAGAACGGAGAGUGGACUUAAGGAGAACGAAGGGAAUGCUUGUGCCCUCACAACAACAACAAUCGCAGUAGCAAUAGCGAUCUGCUCUUACCCUACUCACGAAGCCUCUCACUCGUAAACUAUUCUUUACAUCAAUCCAAGAUUGAUAUCCUUGACAAGAACACCUCUUGCAGGGAUAUAAUAGAAAAUAAGAUUUUUCCAACUAUACGAGGAAAUCUCUCUAUUCUAUUGAGAAUAAUCCUCUAUUCUGUUGAAGAAAAUCCUUCCAGCUCUCAAUAAUUAUUCUUAUCUUUUUAUCUUUUAACAAACCAAUAACUGAACAAACUAAAAUAUGAAUCACAAGAUAAGGGAAUAUGUGAGUGGACAAAAAACUAUGGAACAAUGAUUGAUGUUGACUAUUUAAGAUCACCAAACGAUCCUCCCAAAAUUUCAAGCUCAAAUCUAAUGUCUUGCAAUGCAUACAGUGUUGCCUGCAUCGAUCUGCAGAAUUCAUUAACAAAUCAAUUAAGUUCGACAAAAGAUGCUUGCAUUGACUCCUAUGCCGAUCACAUACUGACAACUUAAUCAUUAAAAACAAAACAAGAACGUGAAAUAGAUCAUAUCACAUAUCACCUGCGGCAAGAAUACAAAGAACAUGCCAACCAAAAGAAUCCAACUAUAGUUAAUACCCGAAGAACCCUAAAUCUCAGAGACAGCCCUUUAGUCAACAAAAUAAAAAUGAAAUGCCAUCGAACACCAAGAUUAAUGGAAAGAUUGAAAAAGGAAAAGAAAACGAAUGAAGAUCUUGAAUCGAUGAUGCUUUGAAGGAAAGCGGACGGCAAGAUGAUCCGCACAUCGAUAAUCCGAAUGACAUCUAAUCAAUCGAAGAGAUAUGAUCACGAUCCGAGAUGGAUCCAAGAAUAAUCAAAUGCCAUCAAAAGCUACGAUUCAUGGAGAGAUUUAAAGAGAAAGAAAAAACGAAUGAAACAGAUGGAGUCGUACAUGAAAUCUUUAAUCGGUGAUCCUCUGAAGGAAAGCGGACGGGAACACGUCGUAAUCCGUACAACACUAAUCGAUCAUAGGGGUAUGUUCACGAGCCGAGAGAAAACGAUUCAAGAAGAAUCAAAUGCCAUCAAACACCAACAUUCUCCGAGAGAUCGAAAGAAAAGAAAAACGAACGACUCACAUGGAAUCGUAUCUUAAGUUCUUGAAUCGGUGAGACCCUGUGGAGGGAUGUGAAGGGAAAGAUCGUCCAGACAGAGAUAAACAGAACAAACUCUGAUUGAACGAGAGAAAUGAUCACGAUCGGAGAGAAAUCGUUUCAAGAAUAAGCAAAUGCCAUCAAAUACCAAGAAUUCUUAGAGAAAUCUAAAGAGAAAGAAACGAACGGCUCGUUCUUGAAUCAGUGAGAUCAUGUGGUGGAACGUGGACGUGAAGAUCCUCCACAUAUCGAUCAUCCGGAUAAACUCCAAACAGAACGAAGAGAUAUGAUCACGAUCCGAGAGGAAUCGAUUCAAGAAUAAUCAAAACUCAUCAAACACCAAGAUCCAUGGAUAGAUCGAAAGAUAAAAAAGGAACGAUACGCGCGGAGUCGUGCCUAAAGUUCUUGAAUUAGCGUGACCCUAUGGAGGAAUUUGGAUGGGAAGAUCGUCCACACAUCCAUAAACCUAUUCAAACUCUAAAUCGAUCAAAGAUAUAUGAUCACGAUCCAAGAGAAACCGAUUCAACAAGAAUAAAAAGCAUCCAUCUAUAUUUAACCCAAGAAACCAUAAAUCAAAGAAAUCACCCAAGAAAAGCAAGAUUCACGGAGUGAUCGAAGACAUAAAUGGAAUUAUACCAGCAAAUACUGAAUCGACUGAUUCCUCGGAAGGAUCAAAGAUGGGAAGAUCGACCUCUGGCGAGACAUCGAUCGGAAAGAGCCACUCCAUGAUCCAAACGAGCUCUAAUCGGUCGAACACGACAGAGAAAAGGAGGCAGGCGUUCAAGAAACGAAAAAUGGGAAGGCAAGAGCGAGGCUUCAUAUUCACAUAUAUAUACCGCCUGGCUUGUUAAAGACGCACAUCUUUUCUGUUAAGUGUGCGCUUCUAACGGAAAAAUGAAGUUGCCACCGCAGAGGCAGGGCGUGUACAGUUAUAAGAAGGGCGCAUCACAUUGCGGGUGCGGCUGAGCGGGACAUUUUGAAUUGGGCACCACGUGGAAUUUUCCUCUUUCUUUGGGAUCGUCGUGUUGGGGAUCGGGUUGUUUGAUCUCUCGCAAGCGUGCGUGCCGUAAGAUUCGUGCUUGACGCAUGCUAGUUUUCAUAUACGAUUUGUGUUCAUCGCGCUUUGAGAUGUGUGCUAUAACAUGAUUCCUUCUAUUUGAUUACUGUUGCCAUGAAACCCACAGUGGAUGCUGCGGAAGCCACUCGAGUCGGUGGUGCCAUCAAGAAAACCAGUCCUCGACAUGUCUAGGAAACCUGCAGGCUGUGUCGUGAUGUUGUUCAGGGUUAGGGUUUCCAAGAAGGAAAGUCUCAUGCAUGGUCGUCUCGUGAUGUUGUUCCUGGAGCUUUCCGAAGCCCAAGGACGUCGAUGUCAAGUAAGUCGGGAGCGGUGGUAGGGAAGAACUGGCGGAGACUAUGUGUCGAAGAGGAUGAGGAGGAUGACGACUUUGAGAAGUCUUCUAGUAAAACGUGACAUAAGUUCGCAUCCACAUGUCAACCUCACGUCAACAAAGGUUAGCCACCACAAGCAUUUAUCGAUCCCAUUAAAUACUGAUAUUAAUGUUCUUAAAAUAUUAUUAUUAUUCUGUACGGUUCAUAAGAUAUACUGUCGUCAGACCCUCAUGUCAAUUGCGUCCAUUACAAGCCAAGACCGAGGCGGAGGCGAUGGCUCGGCUUGUGUUGUACUUUUUAUUCGAGUAAACCCAACAAGUGCGCAAAGAGACCGGAGAGCGCUUCAUACAAUUCCACACGCGGUUACGUUCAAACGAGUCAGCGCAAACGGGCGGCCAUUGAACCCACACGCUGCUUUCGCCGUUCGAUCCGAGGCGGCGCUGAUCUCGACCGUCCAUAUCACCCGCGGACGACGGCUUUCACGCGGGCUGGCUUUCCUCUCCCUUUCUCUGACCCUUCCUCGCAUCCGGGCUGUCCUUUUUGUGAGAAGCAUUCCUCUCUUCCUUCUCUCCGCUGCUUCGCGUCCGCGACGACCUAUAAAGCCUCGGAGACCGGACGGAUAGGACCCAAAUCGAGAUCGCGGAUUCCGUUCCUCCCUGUUAUCUCUCUCGCUCCCUUUGUCGUGUGCAUCGUCUUCUCUGCUCGAGUUCUGUCACGAAACAUGGACGGGGCUCCGGUGAACGAGUUCCCGGUGGCGCUGACCCACGGAGGCCGGUACUUGCAGUACGACAUCUUCGGAAAUCUGUUCGAGAUUACAUCAAAGUAUCGGCCGCCGAUCAUGCCGAUCGGAAGGGGGGCUUACGGCAUCGUCUGGUACCUAAUCUUGUUUCUGCUAUUCGUAUGGGAAAUCGAUGGGAGUUUGAUGAAUUAGUAGCUUUGAUGAUUGUUUGGUUGAUUGUGGUUCUAAUUUUUCCUCUUUAUUACAGUUCGGUGAUGAAUUCGGAAACUGGGGACAUGGUAGCCAUCAAGAAAAUAGCCAACGCGUUCGACAAUCACAUGGAUGCAAAGCGGACACUUCGAGAGAUCAAGCUCCUUCGGCACUUGGAUCAUGAGAAUGUAAGCCCUCAGUAAUUACCUGUCAAAAUUCUUGAAUUGUGAUGGCUAGGGAAAGUUCCUUCUCAUGAUCAAGCUUCGAUGAAUUCAUUUCAUCUUCGAUGACAAAUCACAGCAAUGCAAAAUAGUACAUCUGACAGCCAAUUUGAACUGCUUAUGGUCUCCAAUAAUACACAAUUAUUAUUGUUUCCAUAUAUAUAUGUAUAUAUUCUUGAUGUAGGACAUUGUGGGGCGGGUAGUGAGCACAAUAUUGAGGACCUUAGCCUUUUGACCUUGACAUUGAUCGUGUUUGCUCUUAAUUCCAAGUUGUCAAGGAAGUGGAACAUACACAUAAUGGAAACAUAACUUCAUUGAUUAUGAAAGGAGCUGUGAAGAAGAAGAGAUAUACAUGUAUAACAAAACUUUCUUGAAUGAUGUGUGUUCUAUAAAUAUCUUUGAACCUACAUAAGUUUCAUUUAUGGGGUCAACCCUGCAUGAUUGCUUGCAUUUUGGUGGUCCUUAAUGGUUGCUUUCUUUAUUCGAAAGCUACAGGACACCUCCAUAAACUUUUACUUGAUGUCAUCAGGUUACCUGUUUGAACACUGGAUGUUGCAUCAAAUUAUUCAUGGAGUUUAGAACAACUGAAAAUGUCCUUCCUGAUAACAGUCAAUCAUGCAUCCUGGAUAUCUUAGCUGUGAACUGGUUAUGAUAUCAGUUUCUUGCUUAGCUGCAUACGAUUCAGUAACAAAAUAGAUCUCCAUUUUUUAUUUCUGAAGAGAAAAAUAGUCAGGAAUUAUACUUCAUAUAUGUUACAUCUAAGGGAAUUGGUCUAGAGAAUGUCUUAGAUGUACUAAAUAUGCAAAAUAUAUGGAGUUGGCACGGAUAACUGAUAAAGAAAACCAUGGUUUCUUGUCUAAAAUAUGCUGUGUCAAUGAAACUGUUCCUGGUUUUAGCAUGCCCCAUUUCAGUAUCUUCACUGGAAACUAUACAUUAAAGAUGUGAUUCUCAGCGAUCUGUGAUCUGUUCUUACGGUAACUGAAUGCCUUUACCGUCGACAGGUUAUAGGGAUAAGGGAUGUGGUCCCCCCGCCAAUUCCACAAACAUUUAAUGAUGUUUAUAUUGCAACUGAGCUCAUGGAUACUGACCUUCACCAUAUAAUCCGCUCCAACCAAGAAUUAUCGGAGGAACACUGUCAGGUACGUUGUUCAUGAUCCUGAUACUACUGCAAGCACAGAAUUAGACUUGAUCCACUUGUUCUGACAAGGUCAUGGAUGGCUUUUUGCUUCCAAAUUGUGCAGUACUUUCUAUAUCAGAUUCUUCGUGGAUUGAAAUACAUACAUUCAGCAAAAGUUAUUCACCGAGAUCUGAAGCCAAGCAACCUUCUGCUGAAUGCAAACUGUGAUCUGAAAAUAUGUGAUUUCGGUCUGGCACGUCCCACAUCGGAGAAUGAGAUCAUGACAGAGUAUGUUGUGACCAGAUGGUACAGGGCGCCGGAGUUGUUGCUGAACUCCACAGAUUACACUGCAGCCAUUGAUAUGUGGUCAGUGGGUUGCAUCUUUAUGGAGCUAAUGAACAGGAAACCUCUGUUUCCUGGAAGGGAUCACAUGCACCAGAUGCGUUUGAUAACAGAGGUAAGAUCAGAAUUCAUCAACAAUGAUGAUUAAUUUCACCUAUUCAGUGUUAUUGCUUACAACAUAUUCUUUUUCGCUCUCUCUAAGGGAUGACGUUUAUUACAUUCUGUGUUUUCAGCUUAUUGGCACUCCAACAGAGGCUGAGCUUGAAUUCAUUCAGAAUGAAGAUGCAAGAAGGUACAUGAGGCAUCUGCCUCGGUAUCCACGUCAGUCAUUUGCAAGUCUAUACCCACAUAUCAGUCCAGUUGCUAUUGAUCUUAUUGAGAGAAUGCUGACAUUUGAUCCCACCAAGAGAAUUACAGGUAACUGGUCUUUGACAGUUCUGCAUUGUCAAAUUUUUUAUCCUCUUACAAACAAAUCAAUAACGAUGGAGAAUUUGAAUUAAAGAAAUCAAAUUAUUGACCUAAUUGUUGAAACCAAUUAUUUUGUGGCAAGCGGUUGAAGGAAAACUUAGGUUAAUUUGUGAUGGCAUCGUAUUAGUAUCUGUUCCUGUGUGAACUAUAAACAACAUAACACAUUGAAGUGGUUAGAUCUGAUUAUUUUCAGAACUUUGUGAAACAUCUGAUGUUGUUGUACUUUCACAUUCAUUUGCUUACUUUGGCUUUCCAUCGAUUCUGCAGUCGAAGAAGCACUAGAUCAUCCAUACCUUGAGAGGUUGCAUGACAUUGCUGAUGAACCCACUUGCAUGGAACCUUUCUCCUUCGAUUUUGAGCAACAUGCCCUCACGGAAGAGCAGAUGAAGGAGCUGAUAUACAAAGAAGCUAUAGCAUUCAAUCCAGCAUACUAGUUUUAAGAGACACCGGUUCGCCUACAAUUGGCCAUCAACUGCUGCUGUAAAUACUUUGAAACAUGAAGAGUUUGUGAUGAAAUUCUAUAUUUUUUAGGUUCUUUAUUUAGCACGAGUGUCUUGGUUGUCUUCAUGAAACUUAUUUUUAGAACAAAUAUUAUUAUGAGACGUUUGAAGUGCAUGCCAGUUUACUUUGCUGAACAAAUUUAAAUCCGUGAGUGCAAGUAGAUCCACCACUGGUUUCAUUGUGCUAGAACUUUCAGUUCUUCCAGGACUUUAAAUUCAUAGUUUUACAAUGUGGAAAUGACUACUGUCUCUAGAUGCUUAAUGCAGCAUUGUUAUCUUUCAAGAUUGGUGCACCAUUAACCUGAUGUGUGAAAGAGCAGGUGACUUGAGUUACUUGGUAGUGGCUUGGUCCCAUUUCUUUGAAGAGCACCAUAAGAGAAAAAUGGAUGUGAAGCAUAAGAAUGAAAACAUAUCCUUUACUUUCAAGAUAGAUGUACAUUUUCUUAGAAUCAUUUGCUAGCUGUGAACUGCUAUCAUCAAGAUAAAUGAUCUAUCUGCAAGACAGUCCAUCAAAUUCUAGUCUUGGGUCAUGGAGUUCAGAGCCAAGAUAAAGGUAGCACCAUCCUAGAAACACAUAAUUACUUCCAAUUAACCUUUUCUAUGUUCCCUCUCAAUCAGAUGAAAGAGCAAGAGCAAGUAGGAUAAAUCAUAUCUACCAACAGAUCAUGUACCAUGAGACUAGUACAAGUUUAAGAAGCUUUAACACAGAAAGGACCAAGUUUUGGUUCCCUCAUUGGCCCACAGCCAUGUUCACCUUCUCUGUAAAGUCUGAAACUGUUACCAUGUUACUCCUGCCUGAUUUCUCUGGCAAAGGACUGUCAUAAUAGUUGGGUAUCUUAUAGUCCUUGUUUCUUUGCUGCUUUUCUGAUUCCUCUUUAUGAUUGUACAGCCCAACAGCUUCCCCACCUCAUCUUUGCUGGAAGUGAGAUCCUCUUCACAUGAUAAGAUCCUAACAUGCAAACACCUUCAGAAUCAGAAGAGCAGUAUCUCAAGUCAAUAUUUGUUUUAUCUAAUAUAGGAUUGCAUUUCAUGAUUUAUGCAUUAUGAUUGUAUCAAAAGGAUAACCAUGCACAACAAAAAUAAAAACUUAAGUAAAUAUCCAAUUCAAACCAUCAAUGAUAGAGUAGCUGAAACAUACAUUUAUAUUAUAUCUUGGUCAAUUGCAAGAAAGGAAAAUUUGGCCUCAUAAAUAAAUCCAAAGAACCCUGUAGUUAACAUUAGCAUUACAGUAAAAGAUAAAAAAGGCAGCACUAGAUCAUGCUUAGAGAUAAGGAAGGAAAAGCACAAUAUUGCUAAUGAGAAUAACUGAUGAGAUAUAAUUUUGUUUGAGACUACUAUUCAUAAGGAUAAAAUUAUCCAUCCACUAAGAUUUGACACAUUGACAUUAAAAGAUAAGAAAUACGAAAAAAUUGAUUGCAUAGGAAUAUCAUCAAUUAUAAUUAAUUUUUUUUAAAUAAAAAAUAAUUUGAGAAAUAUUCUUUUAAUCAUAAAUAAUAGUUAAGGAGACUUGGUUAUAAAUAAAAGACAUCUAUUAUAAUUCAAUUUUUUUCUUUGUUUUCACUCUUUCUUACUCUUCAUAGAUAUCCACUAACUUAGGCAUUAAAGGGAUGGAUCGAAUCAAUAUUCACUUUUUCUUCUUACCUACCAAAAGAUGAUUCUGAUUCAAGAUAAUUCUAAAUCAAUAAAUGAUUUUGAGGAUAACCACUAUUUGACUAUAAAUAAUAGCUAUAGAUUUGUCAAAUUUUAAUUUUCAUUUAUGGUCCUGAAAACAUGGGACAUGAAAAAUUAUCACAACGAGCAGUGAUUAAUGAUGAAGUGGCCGAACCUUGCGACUCCUUUUCUUAUCAACAACAAGAAAAAGAGCAAAAAAAUCAUGGAGGAAUAAUUCACUCAUUCAGAUACAUCUCCUCAACUGUCAGUCGCAUUUGUGACCAUCAGCUUUAAAUGGAGAAAUCAUCACCUCCUCAAUCAUUCAUCCUUGGCAAAUCUGAUCCUUCGAGGUAAGCUCGCCAUAGAGUGACCGGAUACAAAGCGCUGUGAAGUGACUGAAGUGAGGUGACAACCGAGGGCGGGAGUAAAAGAGAAGCAGAUCGGGUCACCGCAGGUUGAGGGACGGUCACGUGUCCUCGCUGUAAAGCUAAAGGCAAGCGGAGCGGCGAUCCUUUCCCACUUCGCACCCUCUUUACAGCUUCCGUCGAUUUAUGGUAUCGUUCUCCCUCUCGGUUCCCCUUUCCUUUCCUUCUUUCCCACUUCGAAUGCUCUUUACAGCCUCCGCCUAUUUAUCGACUCUCGUUUCCCCUUCCCUUUCAUUCUUUCCCACUUCGAACCCUCUUUACAGCUUCCGUCUAUUUAUCGGCUCCCUUCUCCCUCCCUUUUCCGCUUUCCUUUCAUUCGCCCUUGCAGCGAGCCGGCGUGCGAUGUGGCCUGGCUUGGGGAAUGGCGAGGCUCGUUCAUCUCGUCGUCUUCAAUCUCCUCCUCCUCUUCGUCGUCUGCAGUGCUCAGAUGCCUGGUAUAUCUUCUUACAUCGUGCCGGUCAAAGUUGCUUUUCCGGAAGUUGUUUGCAUUGUUUAGGUUAGAUAUUAGGUUAAAUGUUACCAAGAUCUGCGGAAACCGAGCUUCGAUCGUUCAUGUCAAGCCCUGUUUCACUUGGCUCUGCUAUACCGAGCUGUCGUUACACGCUAACUUGAUGAAAGAAGACAAUCGUACCAGCGGCGAGCAGCUGGUGGACAGAUCUGAACAAAGAAGAGCGUCUAGAACAGAAACAGAGAACGCAUCUAAGAUCCAUAACAAAAUGAACUAAGAAACUGGUCAAUUCUAGCAAAACAGUUCUCCUUCAAAUGCGAUGGAGCUUGUUAGCCUUCUUGGCAGAGGCAGAAGCCAACCAUUCUUUGGGGACGAAGGCUAUACCUAAUUGUUUGAACUGUUAAACUUGUAUGCUAGCUUUGUUCCCAUAUGAAACUUGUAUACCAAACGACACAUUACGAGUUUGCCUUCAUCGCAAAGUGUAAUGUAAGGUGAAUUUGGUAACACUUUUCCAUACUUUUGCUUCUUUUUGCUGACCAUCUUCUCUGUUGAAAAGUUAUCAUUCAGCACAUUUCUGAUUAUGUUUGUGAUAAGAAUGCACUUUUCAUUCUACACCAUUGGAUACUCUAUUAACUCUGGUUGUACAGAUUCAUAUAAGAAAGUUUAAGUGAGAUCAUUUUCAUGAAAAGCAGCAUAUGUUCAUGUUUCCAAAAUAUAAAAGCUAGUAGCUUACGUGCAUAGUUAUUGCUGGACAGGUUUUGUCAGUAUUGACUGUGGAGGCAGCGAAACAUAUACUGAUUAUAUUGGACUGGUGUGGACACCUGAUAGUCAAUUUAUUUAUGGUGAAGCAGCUAAUAUAUCAGUUCCAAAUGAGAACCGCAAGCAAUAUAAGACAGUGCGGUACUUCCCAGCAGAUAAUAGAAAGUACUGCUACACAUUCAAUGUCACAAUCAGGACACGGUACCUCGUGCGAACAAGCUUCUUAUAUGGGAACUUUGACAGAAGUAAUGUUUAUCCAAAAUUUGACAUUUCAAUUGGUGCAAGUCAUUGGUCAACCAUUGUUAUCUACGAUGAGAAAGCCAUUGUGACACAAGAGGCCGUUAUCCUAGCUUCUUUUCCUACAGUUAGCAUUUGUUUGUCUAAUGCUACAACUGGACAGCCUUUUAUUUCUACCAUCGAGCUUCGGCAAUUCAAUGGUUCACUCUAUCACACAGAAUUUGAAACUCAGUUUUUCUUGAGUCUAUCUGCAAGACUAAAUUUUGGAGCUGACAAUAAUGGAUCUAUCAGGUAUUUGUUAUGCUUCAUAAUUGUUUAAAAUUAUUGGGUAAGUUAAUUGAAUAUAAUUUUGGUUUUCCAUGCAUUCUCCUAAUGUUAAAACUGAAUCCUAUCUUCGCCGACCUAAUCAUCAUGCAACAAUGCAGACUUUGGAGAAUGUAUCAUGAAUCUUGUGUCAUGAAAAAACAAAAAAAACUCAGAUCACCAAGCAUUAGUUACCACGGAGAAAUGUGUGUGUGUUCUAAGGUAUAUAUUGAGGAAAUUGAAGUAUUCUAGAAUAUGAAAUGAUCAGACCUACCGGUCAACAUGCAUAAUAGGCUUUGUUACGUUAUAUGAACUGUAAAAGCACCUUAAGGGUGGGUUUAGAAGAAAAACUAUAUACAAGAAAAAUGAUAUUCCUUCCAAAAUGAUUCUGCCAUAGUUCUGAUUUUCAAACAUUGCACCUUCCUAUGCUAUCUCCAUUUUGUUUUUAUUUCCGUGUAUUGUUUAGCUGGGUUGGUUCUCUGGUGGUGAAGGAUUUUUUUUCUUGGUUUUAACUGCUACAAUGAUAACAUGUUCUCUAUGCUUACAGGUACCCAGAUGAUCCUUACGAUCGAAUUUGGGAAUCUGACUCUUUGAAGAGGCCAAACUACCUUGUCGAUGUUGCUCCUGGAACUGAAAGAAUAUCGACUGCUAUGCCUAUAGAUGUCAAUAAUGAUGAAAGGCCACCUGUAAAGGUUAUGCAAACAGCUGUAGUGGGGCAAAAUGGAACCUUGAACUAUCGGCUUAACUUGAAUGGUUUUCCAGGGUAUGGUUGGGCAUUUUGUUAUUUUGCAGAAAUUGAAGAGUUAGGAGUGAAUGAAAUUAGGAAAUUUAAGCUAGUGCUUCCAGGGAAUAAGGAACUAACUCGUCUCAUUGUGAAUGUCCAAGAAAAUGCUCAAGGGAAGUAUCGGUUAUAUGAACCAGGAUCAUAUAAUAUAAGCCUCCCUUUUGUCUUGUCGUUUGCUUUUAAGCAAACUAAUGAUUCAUCCAGGGGACCCAUCUUAAAUGCUUUGGAGAUUUACAAGUACAUGGGGAUACAUUAUGGCUCAAUGGAUGGUAUAUAUGGAUAUCGUUUUCUUCAUUAGCUGAUAUAAACUGUGUUUUUCAUCAGGCUGCAUCUGUAAUAUUGUUUCUUUCUUUUUUGCAUUGCAGCAUCAACCAUGCAAAGUUUCACAUCACAUUACCCACAAGCAGUUUGGGCGCAAGAAGGCGGGGAUCCAUGCUUACCAGCUCCAUGGUCCUGGGUGCAAUGUAAUUCAGAUCCACAACCAAGAAUUGUUUCAAUGUACUGAAUUAGUAUUGGUAUCACUUUCUCUGUACUUUGUUGAUAUUUUUCUACCUAUAUUCGUGCAUGUACUCUAUAAAAUUAGAUCCAUUCUCAGUUCGUGCUAAUAAUAGCUUGUUGCAUGAACAGUGAAUUAUCAAAGAAAAAUUUGACAGGAGAUAUACCUUUGGAACUUGCUAACUUAACAGGCUUGGUCGAGUUGUAAGUUUGAAUACAACUUACUCCUUUUUGAUGUCUUAAUUAUUUAUGUUUCUUGAGGCACAAGCUUCCUUCUUUGUAACUAUCCUAAAUUCAAAUGUUGCAGGUGGCUUGAUGGGAACAUGCUUACUGGUCCAAUACCUGAACUUGGUGGAUGCUUGAAUCUGAAAGACAUGUAAUAGUUAGAAAAUUCAGUUGUUGUACCUUUUAAAACAUUAUGCUUUAAAAGUUUGGUUUUUUCUUAUUUGUAGUCACCUUGAGAACAAUAAGUUAACCGGCGAUUUGCCAUCAUCAUUGGUGGGCCUACCAAGUUUAAAGGAACUGUAAGUCCUUUCUCUCAGUUUUAAAGCAUACACUAUUUUUUGGCUGGUUUAUACAAUAAAUUAGCAUCUAGAUCCAAGAAGUAGCUGAAUUUGAAUUUGGUCAUUCUAAGUUAUCUUCAAGUAAUUUCUGUAAUAAAAAACACUUCUAUUGUGUAUACUGUACCUUAUGCCUCCGUUGAAUCAUAAACUCAUGAUUGUUUUUUCUACCAUAUCCUGUCUUUUGUUAUGGUUUUGCCGGAUGCCAGCUACUGCAUGAACUGAGAGUAGAAUACUGAUGGUUGCAGGUAUGUGCAGAACAAUAUGCUGUCCGGAACAGUGCCCACUGGUCUUCUCGGCAAAAAUAUUGUUUUUAUGUAAGUAUUACUUUUUCAUUCGCCGUGUUGGCAACUUCUUAUUUCUUCCUUUCUAACAAUCUCUUUGCCUGAUUUGUUUUUCAGGUACUCUGGAAAUGCAUAUCUUGAUGGGGAAAAAAAUAGCAAGAGGCACAUUAUAAUUGUUUUGUGCUGUGUUUUUGGAUUUUCUGUGCUGCUUGCGGCUGUUCUUGCCUACUUAUUUGCACACAGAAAAAGAGAGUUACUUUCAGGAAAAGGUAUAGCUUCAUACUCGUUGAAGAUUUUUAAUUUGGUCAUCAAUUUAUCAGCGAACUGAAGGUGAAAACUCGUGUCUCAGAUGAUCUUGCCACCGUCCUACCACUUCAGAAGCAAAGUGCUUCCUUCAGUGAACUUGGUACUGACGUAGCCCAUCGAUACAUGUUGUCCGAAAUUAAAUGUGCCACAGAGAAUUUUGCAAAAAAAGUUGGUUUUGGAGGUUAUGGGACUGUAUAUUAUGGAAAGAUGACAAACGGAAAGGAAAUUGCCGUGAAAGUCCUUACAAAUGAUUCUUGUCAGGGGAACCGGCAAUUCUCAAUUGAGGUAACCUAUAUAAAUAAUCAGGUAGACAAGUAAUACUAUUAUGUGUUAUGCUGUGUAUCACUUAGUGACAUACUUUCCACUAGCUUCAACAAUGGGAAAAAGAUCCUGGUAGCUAACUGCACAUAGUUGUCACAACUCACAAGUUCGAUGAACGAAGACUUCCGUUUACAAUGAUUUCUUAAAUAUACAUGAGGACAAGUACAUAUCUCCCACCAGUCAUGAAUGAUGCUAGUCAAUUUGGUUUUUACUUGAGAUCCAAGAAGUCAUUGUAGUGGUGGUACCAUAAGCUUAAUAGGGGAGAACACUAGAGUCAAAUAUGUUGGAACAUCUUAAAAUUUGUUCUAUAUCUAUUGAAGGUGAGUCUCUAGAGUAUAGCCUUACUGUAACUGAGUAAUUUUCAGACACCACUGAAGCAAGAUUUCCAUGCUGGUCAGGAUUGUGUACCCUGUGGUUUUGUUUAUGUUCACUUGGCAAGAUCAUUGUUUAACUGUAGAGAUAAUUUCUGAAAGCCAUUAUCACAAAUCAUCACACUAAAAAGGCCUGUUUCAGGUGUCCCUGCUUUCCAGAAUACAUCACAGGAACCUGGUACAAUUUCUAGGUUACUGCCAGCAAGAGGGGAAGAACAUCCUUGUCUAUGAGUUUAUGCAUAAUGGAACUUUGAAAGAGCACCUUCACGGUACGAGUCUCAUAUUUUCUACGUUAUGAAUAUUUGGAAGUACAAUAAUUUAUUUAAUCUUUGCAGGUUCUGCAUCUCAGAGACAACAUAUUAGUUGGAUUAAGCGUCUUGAGAUUGCUGAAGAUGUUGCAAAAGGUUCCAUUUGAGAAAUAAAUUAUCAUUUAUCUAGACCGUUGAUUUAUCUUCUGGAGUAGUAUGAUAACAAUGGGAACUUACAUAUAACAUUUAUCAGGCAUUGAGUAUCUCCAUACUGGCUGUUCUCCGGCCAUAAUCCACAGGGAUCUGAAGACCAGCAAUAUUCUUUUGGACAAGAACAUGAGAGCAAAAGUUUCAGAUUUCGGUCUUUCAAAGCCUGCUGCAGACGAAUCCCAUGUCUCAAGCGUUGUUCGAGGGACUUUGGGCUACUUAGACCCUGAGUAAGGCCUUCUUCCCGCACAACUAGUGUGUUAAAUACUCACUAUAACAAUUAUAUUUCUUGUACACUCAAAAUACAUGAGCAAGUCAUGAAGUUUAAUGUCACGAAGAUAUAAUGACAUGAGGAGUAAUCAGGAAUUUUUGUAUUAGCCACAGGUUUCCAAGAAUUAGUUACAUCUGGGAAGUCAUGGCGGCAUAAUAUGUUUAAUAUUUUCAUCUUCUGCUCCCCAACUGAUUCCGGCCUCACCAAUUUAUUCAUAAUGUGCAGGUAUUACACCUCACAGCAAUUAACAGUAAAGAGUGAUGUUUAUAGUUAUGGCAUUAUCCUUCUGGAGCUUAUUUCUGGUCAAGAGCCGAUAUCUAACACAAGUUUUGGCGAGAGCUUCCGAAACAUAAGUCCGUGGGUCAGUGCACCACUUUCACCUUGCUACUAAUUAAUUACAAUUGUUUGAAAUUUCUCUGCAACUUUUAAUUCUCUGAUUAACGGCCAACUAUCAAACCAAAUUACUAUUUCUUUGUCGUACACAUCUGAGGCAGCUGCAAUGGCAGUUAAAAGUCAGUGGACUUACAUGUUCCCAAUUCUUUUACAAGCUCGAUGUCAAUUUUUAUUUCUUAGAAUCCGUUGUGUUCUCUUAGAAAUAGUCGCUUGACCCUGUUUUAGUGGCAGUAGUCUUACUAAAUUUCUGUAAACAGGCAAAGUUUCAUUGUGAGAGCGGAGAAAUCGAGGCUAUCAUCGACCCAUCACUUGGGGAUGAUUACAAUGACAUCCAGUCAGUGUGGAAGGUUGCCGAAGUGGCAGUGAGAUGCGUCAACCGGGAAAUGAGAAACAGGCCAGCCAUGUCCGAAGUGCUCAAGGAGAUCCAAGAGGCUAUCGCACUGGAGCACGCUCCGGCGAACACACAACCCAACAAUUUCUUUGGUGAAGUUUACUUGGACGCAUUGAACAAUCCUGGACCCGAUGCUUAUUCUAGUGAUUCCUUUACCCAGCCAGAGCUCCGCUAGUGCUGACCGUACCUGAUGUGCUUCCAUAUUUUUAUGAUUUUGUUCAUAACUAGGAUUGGAAAACAGUGUAAUUCAAAUUUUGAGUAGUUUGUGAUCAUAAUUUAGACAUAUAACAAGUGUUCAUGUCAUGACGAAUGUGCAACUUUCGGGAGAAAUUUCUGAUAUCAAUUGUUAUACCACGUGGAUUGAAGUUGUGUUAACCACAAACCGAGAAUCAGAAUUUUCAUGUGAAAUUCAUAAAGGGAAAACGGAGAGCAGAAACAUAUGAAACAUUCGAUGUGUCCAGACAUCCAUGCAUUAACACUCGGAAAGGUUUAUUGGAAAUAUGCUUACUGAAGUGACUUCAUGUAUGGACGAACGAUCUAGUCCUCCGCAAAUCUGAAAACGAAAACAAACGUAAGGCAAAAGUCAACUACUUCCGUAAGACCUGCACUUGUUGAUCAAGAAACCCUUCGAUGCAUACCCUAGUUCGGAGAGCUUCAGGUGUGCUUCAGCAUAGUCAGCAAAGAAGGCAUCCUCAUCCUGAGGGUGAGGACGUCGGAUCAGUAUAACGCACAUAAUGCAACUAGAGAGAGACAAAAAAAAAAAAAAGAUCAGAUGAGAGCGCAUACGGCAGCGUAUUUCUCGACGAGGGGACGGAAAACAGGAUCGGUGAGGAGAGCCUUAUCGGACGGGAGCUGGAUGACGUCGUCUUUCUCGCCGCUCAGGAGCUCCCUGCCACCGGACAUAUGAGAACAUAUACAGAGCAGAGGAACACAUCAGAACAUGCAGAUGUCGAGGAGGCGACAUAAAUCCUACUUGAAAUAGGAGUUGUCGAAAAUAAGAGGAUUGGAAGUCCAAGCUCCCUCGAAACCGGAGCGCUCCUUGUGGCAUCUCCCCUGAGACAUCAGAAGGUGCCAUCGCACGCAAAGUAAUUAGAUAACAAAAGGUCUAGCGAACGAAAUGCUGCGACGAUAAAGAAGUGUGCAAAUAUUGAUUUACCAGCGUGUGGCCACCAGAGAGUGCAACGAUAUCCUGAUCGCUGAGACCCAUGUGGCCAAACACAUCCCUGAGGUGGUCCGAACCUGCGAGACCGGAAGCCCAUCAGAAACAAUUUUGAUCAUCUCUUACUGUUUGUACAGGAAAAUAAGGUUACUGUGGCUUCUCAUCAACCAAACUCAAUAGGACGCAUGCAAAAGCCAGAGAAAGAGUCUAUAUCAUGAUGAUUGAAAAUUGAACCAAGCGAACAAAACAUCUAAAUAGAACUAAUUUUAUGAUAUCCCCAAAAUGCAGCAUGAGAAGUAGGAACAUUGGAGGGUCAUUUUGAAUGUCCUGAAACAUUUUGUCUAAAGCUGUACCUUUUGUGGCAUCAGGCAGGCGGCCUUCCUCAGGAGGUUGGGUCUUGUCCUGAAACAGAAAAACAAUAUCAUCAAUGCAAAACAGACCAAAUCUUGUUCAGGUAUCCUUCACUAAAUCUGCUCUCGGGAAGCUUUAUCGUCACUUCAACUCUUGCGAAUGAAUGUCUCAAGAGUCUUAGGGUCCCAUCCUACUCGAAUGAACAUCUGAUACAGUCAAAUCCGAGAUCGGCACAACAGAAGUCUGCUUCACGGAACUCGACAUCAUCUACGUAUUACAUACCAUAAUAUUUAUUAUAAGUUCUAUGCAAUAUCGAUGUGGAAGUGGGAAAAAAAUUAAAGAAACUUAUGACAACUAUAUGGAUAUCAAUAGGAUUUCGAUUAGUUAUGUUUAUAUCGGAUAAACAAGAAUUAACUUAAUAAAAUUAUCAUUGAUAUUAUAAGUUUAUAUGUUUUGGAUUGAAAAUUUCAUUUGAGGAUUAAUUAUAUAUUACUUCUAUACUUGAACCCUAUUAGCAUCGUGACCUCUGUAAAUAUAAAAUUUAUAUUAAAUUUUUUAUAGUUUUAAAAAUAAAAUAAAUAAUUAUAUUUAUCUUAAUGUUGUCAACCGUAUUGACGUAAAAUAUAACAUAUGACGAUCGAUGUAAAAACGAUAAGUAAAAUGAUAAUUUUAACAUCACUUUCGUUUUCAAUGACUUUAUUGUAAAAAGAUAAUUUCAAUAUCCCACGUAUUAAAAAUAAAAUAAUAUUAAAAUUAUCUUUUUUUCUAUUAUUUUCGUGCUAAUUCAACAUGUGGUAUCAUGUGUUGUAUUUUUCAUCAAUAUAGUUGACGAUAUUAUGACAAAUAAGAUUAUAUGUUUCAACCAUAGAGAUUCCAAUAUAAAUUUUUGAAGUAUAAAAAGCAUGAUACUAAUAGGUCCAAAUGACUUAAAUAUUUUGCUUGAAUUAUUUUAGCUCAUAUUUUUUGAGGAAUCAUAUCAAUGAUAUACAACCCUUCCAAUAGAUUUACUCGCAAAUUAGAAGGAAUAACGCCACCGCACAUCUAAUACGCGCAACCUCCUUAGAAUAUAUUUACUGCUCCAAUCUUACUCUCCGUUAGUUUUGGGGAACUAUAUGAUUCUAUAAUUACGUCAUUUCUCCACUUCCAAUUCCAGGAAGAGUUGAGGACGAAUGAAGCAGAUCCAUAACCGCCGACCCGAUCAAUCCUAACCCUAAUCUUUUACCCUUUUUUCUUCGUGUUAGCAAGAAAGAGAGCGCGGGUGUUUGAUACCUCUCUGCCGGGAUGGAAAGGGAUCUCCGGCCCUCCUGUGACUUCGACGGCGACGACUCCAGCGAGCUGCCAAGUAAUUGAAUGCAAAACAAGCGUUGAAAGCGCCGUAUCCUCUUGUUUAAAGAUCUGGACAGGGAGAUCAAAAGGGGGGAGAACCUGGUAGAAGUCAGCGAAGGAGAGAGUGGGGAACUGCUCCUUGAUUGGCUCCAGGAGCCGGAGGGCGAUGUCGAGGCCGUUGUUGGCGCCGUGAGCGAGCUCCGCCGCGAACCUUAUCGUCCCGAACGGGCCUCCCGUUUUCGUGCUCACGUCGUACGUCCCCGCCGAGUGCCAACUGAGAUAGAAGGUCCCCACACCCCGACACGAUGGUGAUCGAUUCUUAUGCAAGAGAGAACAGAAAGAGAAGAAGAGAAGAGAACGAUGCGUACGCAAGGCGGAGCAUGAUAGGGGCGCAGUUCUUCUCGGCGAUGAGGCCACGGAGCUUCCUCCUGGCCUUCUCCACCGCCUUCUGGUACUCCUCGCUCACCGCCGGGUACGACUUCCCCAUCGCCGUCGUCCACUUCCCCGAAUUCUGGUCUUCGUCUAGUCGUCGUCAGUGGCAACCCGGCGGGGCCUCCGCAUUUAUAGUGCGCGCCGGGUCUCUGGGGAGGAGCGGACGGAUGGAUCUACACCACGGCUUAUGAUGUGAUACCGACGGCAACGAUUGCGUCCUCGGGGCGUGUUUGCUUCAUGCUGCCCCACGACGUUGUCUGAAGUCGCGCAACAAAUCAAACGGACAGGCGCCAUGGUGGCGACGGUGGGACCCUACCAGGUGUGAACGCGGCGGUGGGGCAGAAAGAUUCCGUUUCAGGACUUCACCAAUUGGUCGCGAAAGGGCCCCACCGGCGGCAGUGCGGUAAUUAUAAACGCAAUAUGACCAUGCUUUCCUUGCUCCAUUAGUUUUGCCAGCCACCGAUCCCGGGGGCGAUUUCGUAAAAUGGACCCCUAACUGAAGCUUUUUUAAGCUUAAGACCCUCGUAAGUUGUGUUCUCUUUUCACUUAAGCCCCCCAAACAGGACCUUAGUGACCCAAAUCCCAUUAAAUCAGUCCCCAAUCGCCUAAUCCGGUUCGAUUUGACCAUUUGGGGGCUGACGUGGCCAUAACAUUAUAAUGUUUCUCAUGCCGGGGGCGGAUUAUGUACUGGUGUAUUUCGUGGACCCCAUGGGUGGACGACUCUCAAUUAGUUUUGGGUCCCUAUCGUUAGGCAAGUAGGUCCCACUUGGGUGUUUAUUUCUUUCCGCACACAGCAGGCGCUUUCCAUGCCCUCCCUUUCCACAUAUAGCCAACAGGCCCGAGUCGGCCCAACAAUGUGUCGGAUCGAUUUGAUCUGAUCCGAUCCGAUCAGGUAUGACAAGCUUUAAAAAAUAAGACAAAGUUUAUAUAAGUCUACAUUAUCCUGCUGUAAUUAAAUAUUAUUAAUUAGUUAUCUUUAAUAUUUUGAUUAUUAUAUCUUUAAUAUAUAAAAAUAAAACAUUUAACUCUGUUUUUCCUCGUGUCUUCAACUCUUUUGACGAAAAUCCCGUAUAUGUUCAAUGGUAAAUCGAAGUGAGACAGAGUCAAGCUCGAUGAUAAAUUCUCUUUUUUUUUUUGUCAAUCAUAAGGAAAAACGAAGUUAAACAUUUCAAUUUCAUAAGUAUAAAAAAUUUGAUAUAAUUAAUAAAAGUAUAGAAUAUACAGAUAACUAAUUACAGUAAAUAAUUUAUGAUAACCUUAGAGAAAUCUGUGUUUGCUUGAAAUAAUGCUAGGCAUAAUGGGCCGGGCUCAUGGGCCUUCGAUAUGUUGUAAUUUCAAUCAAACGCAAAAUUUGUAAGAAAAUUGCAUCAUUUCCCACGAAAUAUUCUAAUGAUUACUUAAGCUUGUCUUCCUCUGAUAUAAUAAUCGGGGAGUUAUUAAAAUAUUUGGUCGGUGAGGCUAAAUAUUAGACAAAGAAAAGGGCAGCGUGUGAUAGGUCGAACGGCACGUAUCACGAGGAAAAAGGCUUUGCAUGCAUGGACAGGAUGCGCCCACGUCGCCAACCUCGGACGUCUCCGCCAAUAAUACACCCAUAAAAGCGUAAUCCACUUGCUAAUGAGACGGAUUAAAUAUAUAUAUUAAUUGGAACAUGAUUGCAAGAGGAAAUGGCCAACCCAUCAAAUUACAUGAGAAGAAAUGGGGGGAGGCAGCUCGGGCGAAUCUUAUUGAUCUUUUAAUCGAUGAUGGCAAUGGCCCCCACCGGUUUAUUUGCCAUCGAGUGUGGCAAUGGGAAAACAGAGGAAGUAUUAUGGUCGAGUUGUCAUUAAAGUAUCUUUCCCCCACCGGUUUAAUCUUGUCAUUAAGCAUCACACAUACAUACAAUAAUAAUAAUCCUCCAUACAUAAAACAAUUAUUAUCAUCAAUUUGGAUUUCGGAGACAAUUCAAUUAUGUCUCCAUUCUAAAUCUUAUCUUGAUAUGAUAAUCAUUUAAUAACACAAACUUUAAGGAGAUAUAAUCAGAAAUGAAACCUUUAAAUUGAACAAUAACUAAAGUCGAGAGAUGAGAGAGAAGAAUCUAAUCAUAAUCGAAGAAUUUUGUAUUUAUAACCAAAGGUUUCGAUAAAAAUAAGAGAGAAAAGGACUUAUGUGGUUGUCCUCUCUACGUGAAAUAUUCUUUCAACCAUUUUUGAUUUAAAGAUUAUUUUAUAUUUUAUUAUAUAUUGACGUGAUAGAUAUGAUGGAUUGACAUUCGCAUGUCGAGUUUUGAUUAAUCUCGUGUGUGUAUAUAUAUAUAUUAUUCAUUGUAUUUUGUAACACUUAGGUAAGAGAAAGUUGUGACAACUAUAAUGGACCAUUAUAAUUGCUAUUUUUUUUUGUCUUUUAUAUGUUUUCCUAUUAUUGAUUAGUUUUCUUUAUAAAUUGUGCACAAACAAACGACUGAGAUUUGCUAUCGUGAUGACUAAGAUUUUUGUUGGGAAAGGCACAUCAUAAUAAUAUUGGACGCAUAGUAUGCUUGCCAUGGGUUCGCAUCGAUCACCAACGGUGAGCUGUUCGAUGGAACCCUUAUUUUGGACCAACUGUGAAGAGGGCGUGAUGAUAUCCAAUGGAGACAAACUUGAAGCUAUCACACUAUUAUCUGCACAAAUCCAAAAUCAAAAUUAAAACUCCACAAAAUUAUCCUUUUUUUUUUCCCCCUUUAAAUCCCGACAACUUCACAAGUUAAUAUCUUAUGCUUAUUAAUAUGUUGUUAUAUCUAUUAAUUAUUUAUAAACUGAAUAAUUAUGAACUAUUAUAGGAAGAUAUUUUUGAGAUCCUAAUUAACGUGAUGUGAUUCAAACUCAUAUGCACAAGAUUAUCCAAGAUGUAUUCGAGGAGAAAAUGUCGAGCUCCCGUGUCACCUGCAUAGAGAUAAAGUCAAGUAAGGUUUUUCGACUCAAAUAUUCUGGUGUCUAUGAUAGUAAUCCAAGAUAAGUGUGUGUCGAUGUGAGUGUAAAAUAGUGAUCUAUUUUUUUACUGUGCUAAAAAUAAGCUUUUAUAUAUAAUCGUAUAAGGAUAACAACCCUCUGUUAUCUCUAAUCUCGUUUGAACUUUUCUCUAUAACAAAGAGAGAGAUAACUUACCACUGUUUACCUUAGACUAUUAUCUAACAUGCACAUAUUAGUAGGGGCAAUCUAUAUCUCUUCUUCCAACCAAAACAUUACGCUUUUCUAUUAAUAUGUUAUAAUAUAUAUUAAUUAGUUAUUAACUAAAGAAUUAUGAACAAAAGUUUAACUCUUAAUUCGAUCAUUAAUACAUGUAAAAUAAGUAUUUUUUUUCAUAUUUAUUCCCUUCAAAUGUAAGAUUGGCAUGCAUAUUUUACUGCAAAAACCAAAAUCUCACAUAUAUAUGUUUAGAACAUAAAUAUUUAAAUUCUAAUGAACAUUAAUUUGCUUUAUAUCUUUCAUUUCAAUAAUUAAGGUAUUUAUAUAUUACAUAUUCUUAAAUUCAAAGUCGAUAUUGACGAUCGUGUUAAUAGUGGUUAAUCUGAUUGAUUUUUUAAUGAAUAUCAAUGGCAUAUAUUAUUAUUCUAAAUAAUAAUAAUAAUAGAAAGAUAUGAUGUGAUUUAUAUUUUUAACAUUUUUCAUCCUCGUCUAUGUACAACUUAAAUUGAUGGAAGAUAUAUUUUUAUGCGGGAUUUGAACUGAACACAAUUAUUUUUCUCGAUAUUAUAUUAAAAUUUGAUGACCCAUAACUUUUUAAUGAGAUGUAGUAUAACAUUUAAGAUGAAUUCUCAAAUUUUCUUUUUACUUUUACUAACAGGUGUUUUCAUUUUUUUUUAUUUUUCUAUGGAUCGAUUUAUCUAAUAAAUCGAUUCAAUUAUAAUAUUUUUAUAUUAUAUUAUGAUAUAUUUUUAAUAUAAUAUAUUUUUUUAUGAUAUAUAAUUUCGAAUGGUAUCCUCCGGGUGGUACGUACUGGUCCGACGACAUAUCGGUAUGGACCGCUCACUACCAACGGACCGUGCUAUAAUGUUACAGUAAUACAUUGUAGUAGUGCUACGAUAAAAGAAAAUAGCUCGGUAAAUCCUGAUGUACCAUUCUGUACGUCAUGAUAUACCACUCGAUACGUCGGUAUCGUACCGUAUCGAAUCAACCUCGAAAUAUCGAUACGAUAACAUAUCUUGAUUUUUAAUAUUAUAUUAUAAUAUUUUUUAAAUAUUACUAAAAUUAUCAUAACAUAGCAUAAAAAUAAUAUAACUCGACAGAUUGGCUAUCAGUUCACAGAAAAGAUAGAGAAAAAAAUAGAUGAUCAGAUAUUCUUCAGGUAUUGAGAAAAAAAUACAGCUAAAAAAUUGUAGAAAUAGAGGCACUUAAAGGGGAAAAGACAAUGAUUUAGAUAGAUGAAUCCAAUCAAGAAACAUGAACGUCAUCCGCACUUUGGUACUUGGCAUUUGUUUAGGGUUUAUAUGUGGAGGAAGAAAGGACAAGUCGUACCCACAGCCAAAGGAGUAUAAUACAAACAGGCGGCCCACGUGGCGCCCUCCGAUUGGGUCGGCCCCGCCCGAUGCGUCGGUGGAAGACGACGUCCGCCGGGUCGGACCACCGGUUGCAGCCGGUCGACACCGGGAACCCCCGCGACACCGGAGAGGGAAAAGGCAUUCAUUCAUACGAGGGAGAGAGAGAGGGGGUAGGAGGAGGGCGGGGCCCACGGGUGGGUGGUUUCGUGUGGGGGGCCGACUUCUUCCCCGCCUUUCUUGGGGCCCCUUUGGCUUUUGUCUAUCUUCUCUGCAUCACCGUUGAUUGGCCUCUCGUGUCCCCAUCUGUCCACCAGCGGUCGGGCGUCGAAAUGAGCGGUCCAGAUUUUAUCUGCUUUGAGCUGGUUUUUUAUUUUAUUUUUCUUUUUUUAUUUGAGUUUGUGUGAUAAUUAUGUGAAAAAAUAAUAUAAAUAGCAACUAAGGUCGUGUUGAACUUAAAUGUGCCCGAUAUGAGAUGAUCCAAUUCGAUAGAGGUUUAUGAUCUUAUCAUACUUCAGAAUCAUAAUAUAAAUUGAUGAAACUUAUGAUAAGGGUAUUAUUUAAAAUAUUUUUUUAUGCUUAAGAUUGAAAUAAAAAAAUACUUUAGAUGAUUUGAAACUAAAAAAAAAGAGUUUAAAAUAAUAUUCUAGAGAAAAAAAAAUUAGAUAACUUAUAUUACGUUCAAAAAGGUUCGUUUUUAUGAUAUUAAGAUGAUAACCACAUGUGUAAAGAAAUUAUUUUUUAUUCAAAAAAUAUUUUAUAUUUAGAUUUAAAUUAGAAUGAUUACCCAACUUAUCAUGUUCUGAGUUUUUAUAGACAUUCUUACCAAAUUAGGAGUAGGAUAUUGUUAUACAUUCUUUCAAUUAUUAAUUAAACCACCUAUAGCUUAUAAUCAUGAUAAUAUUUGUUUGUUCGAAUAAAAAUAUAUAUAACUAUAAAUACUACAAAUUAGGAAAAAUACAAAGUCCAAAUAGUCUUUUUUUUAUAUCCUUCCUAGUCUUAUGCUUUCAAGUGCACUCUUGUCUCCAUCUACCAUCCUAACCCAUCCCCAUCUCAUUUCAUCCACUACAAUAAGAAGAUGUGUUUUGUACCAGUGGACAACUGAGAUGAUGUGAUGUGAGAGGAUCCUCCCCCCUUAGUUUUCAUAUGGAUUAAUGUGCAUUAGUUUUCAUAUCGAAUUGGUGAAUCGUGAUGCACUUUGGGAUCUUCUAAUCUCUGGACAUCGACCGUUCAUCUUUAGCGUCCACUUCUGAGGUGGAUUUAUGCGAUGAAAUUAUAACCAUUGAAACGACUCCAUAAAGCAUGACAACGCCAUUCAUAUUUUUAGGUUUCCAUCCUCUCGCAUGAUGUCAAGGAAAGUUCGCCUAUACUGUUCUUGAUACUAAUUAAUUAAUUAUAAUGAUUCGAACCAUUCAAUAUAACAACAUGAUGUUAAUGAUUGAGUCACAUUUGAAAUUAACCAAAUAUAAAAUAUUAAAAAAAGUUCACUUAUAUCAUGAAAUAUUUUAUCUAGCUUAAUCAAUUAUAAAAACUCAAUUACUAUUUAUUUCAAAUAUCCACUCUAUUACUUAAAUAUUUUAAUUCAUUAUAUUUUCCUCUAUAAACCUUCCAAUAUAUAUAUAUAUAUGCAAACGUUGAAAGGACACUUUGAAAAUGAAAUAUCCUUUGACUUCCAAAUUUUGGCAAAUAUUUUAAACAAAUAAGUAAUUUAAAGGUGGCUUCUUCAUCUGCACGCUUCUGUGUCACCCACGCAUUUCCCAAAACGGAAACUUCGUAGACCAACACAUUAAUCUACUCUUAAGACGUAAAAAUAAAAGAUAAAUAUAAAUAUAAUAUAAUAAAAAUAUACUCUUACGACGUUAAACUAAUCGAGUUGCCUUUUGAGGACGUGUCAUCUUCCGCGCGUCCUACAGUCCUAUUCCCUGUUUGGAAUGCGGCAUCUUCCAGCACACGGAACUAAUCCAACAUGAUUACAUCGGGCGGCGAGGAUGAAUCCGCAGUGGAAACCCCGAAGACCGGCUGCUCCCGGUCGUCCGGUGCCACUCACUCCCUCUAUUUGUAGCACAAGAGGCUUCUUUGGUAGUCGUGCCUCUCGAGGCUGUUCCUCUCCUCUCACGGAUCCUCCCUCCCCGCCGCUCAACGCCGACGAUCUGUCCACCGUCGCCGUCUCUCCGUAAUCCUUCGUGAGGUGCUUGUUCUUAGUUUAUACUUGUUAUUUGUCUCUGCUGUGUUAUUGAGCUCCGGAUUCGAUUCGAUGUCGAGCGUUUUACCCUCCAUUUUUGUUCCUUGGGUGAGGAAAGAUCGAGGUGAGAAGGCGGGACGAUGGAAGCGGAGAGGUUGGUCUCCGAGCAGAGAUCGCAGUUUCUCCGUUAGAUGCGAUGGAGAGUCGCCUCUCUAUCUCUCUCUCUCUGCCAUUCUCUCUUACUUCUGUCAUUGUCGAUCGGAAGUUGUGCAUCAACCUCGUUUUCUUUCGUUUCCCUCUUCUCUUCCUCUCGUUUCCCUUGCUGGGGAUGAGAUCGCUGGUCUGGUCUGUGCGAGAUGGAAUAGCAGGCAGCUGUAGUGGUGGUGACGCCACCAUCGUGCCUGUGCGGCCAUCUGUGUUGCUGAUCUUAGUUGAUGGUGAUUCGUGUACUUAUUGAGAUUGCUUCCCUUGUAGAUGUGAUAUAUACUGUGGGAUGGUGAAGCACAUAGUUAUUAUAGUUGCGGGGUGGCAAUCUUAAUCGUGGAAGGAGAUAGAUGUUCCGUAAGAACGACUCGGCCCUAUCCUGCUUCUAUCUCUACCUGCUCUGGCUAUUCUUCCUGAAAUAGCAAGGAAUCCAAACCCUAAGCUUGGGAGAGUGUGCGAAUACGGAUCUGAUCGUGAAAGGUUGUCUUUCUCAAAAUGUUCGACCUCAACCUGGCGUCUUCCGGCGAGUCGACGGCUCUCGAAGAUAAGCUUGUCCCCGAGAGUUCUGGCGCCAGGCAGAUGGACGACUCCGGGAUUACGAAUUCGUCUGUCCUCAACACUGAGGGUUCUGUGGAUAUGGCCGAUGAAGAUUCUUGCUCGACCCUUCCUGCGAUGGCCUUCGAAUUCGGUAUCUUGAAAUGCUCUACCUCGGCAGAGGGAGAGAAUGAAGCCGAAGAGGGGAUUGGAGGGCAUGCGAGUGGUGUCCUGGAACAACCUGGACUCAUCACCAGGCAGCUCUUUCCGUCGGCAACGAUGCUGAUUCCGGACGGUUUCCAACUGCCGGUGGUGGCUUCGUCCCCGUCUUCAUCGAGGCUGCCUUGGAUGAAUCUUACGUUUUGCCAAACUGAUUCACAAUCAGAAUUGAGAAUUCUGCAGCAACAGCAGCAAAAGCAGGUGAAAAAGAGUCGCAGGGGGCCACGGUCCCGCAGCUCUCAGUACCGGGGAGUUACGUUCUACCGCAGGACAGGAAGAUGGGAGUCUCACAUCUGGUUAACAUUUUGGUCUUUUGAAUCUUAUUUCUUCUCCCCUGAUUCAGGUAAACUGACAUUAGUUGCUUCUCUUGGGCAGGGAUUGCGGGAAGCAAGUGUAUUUGGGUAAGCUUUUAUGCAAAAUUUCGUUUGAUCAUUCAUAUUUCUGUUGGAUCGGACAUUUUCUGAUUGUUGUUUUGAAUUUGACAUUUGGACAUUAAUAGGAGGUUUUGACACUGCUCAUGCUGCCGCAAGGUAAGAAUUAUUUUUUCAUCUGAUUUUAAUCCUUUUCUCCUAUGGCUUUCACCUAUUUAGGCAAAGAAUAUAUAAGCAGCAAUAUUCUACUUUCAGGGCAUAUGACCGAGCUGCAAUCAAGUUUCGUGGUGUGGAUGCUGAUAUCAAUUUCAAUCUCAGCGACUAUGAGGAAGAUCUGAAACAGGUAACUAAAAGUAGAGGCAAAAGAAUAGUUCGGUUCAUUAUAAUUUUGGAUGGCAAUUCAUUUCUUUUCGGUUUACCCCUUCUUAGAUGAGGAAUCUAUCAAAAGAAGAAUUUGUGCAUAUACUUCGUCGCCAGAGUACUGGUUUUUCAAGAGGAAGCUCAAAAUACAGAGGAGUGACCCUUCACAAGUGUGGUCGCUGGGAAGCCCGCAUGGGGCAGUUCCUUGGCAAGAAGUAAGAAUAUUGUGCCAGUGUCCUUGACUCGUGGGCUUUGGUUUGAGGAUCAGGAUGGGUUCUUGCUCUUGCACAUUGUUUCUUAGUUCUCGAUUUGUGUCUUGAUGCCUAAGACCAAAAGUUCUAUCAUUUGCACAAAGCAACAUAGCUGAUAUCGGUAGAGAUACCGGGAAAUCAUUGAUUUGUUAUAGUCUUGGUUCACAGAUUGCACAAGAAACAUGAUCUUAACUAGAACACAAUUUAUGCUGUGCAGGUACAUAUAUCUUGGGUUAUUCGACAGCGAAAUAGAAGCUGCAAGGUCCCGAGCAUGGAUUUCUUCAUCGUCGAUGAUGCUCUAAUUAUUAAUUUUAAUUUCAUCAGGGUUCGGUACCAACACCAAUUUCCUGUUUCUCUUUGUUGUUCUUCUACAUCAGGGCUUAUGACAAGGCAGCAAUAAAGUAUAAUGGAAGGGAUGCUGUUACCAAUUUUGAGCCAAGUACCUAUGAAGGAGAACUACUUUUUGAGGGUGAUACUGAAGGUGCAGUUCGCAUAUUUGAGUCUCUCUCUAACAUCAAAUUCAAGAUGUGUUGUUCUGAAUCAAUUGCAUGGUUCUUUGAGAAAAAUUCAUUAUCUGAGUUCAAAUAUUUGAUUGGUUGCAGGUCAUGAUGUGGAUCUGAGUUUGAGGAUUUCUCAAUCUGUCGUCCAAGGUCCAAAGGGAUAUCAAAAUUCAUCAAAUAGCCAGUUUGAAGCUUCUGAUUGCAACAUAGCAAAGGUAAUCAGUUUGCUAUAUUCUGAUAUUUUGUUAUUCCUUCUCACAAUUGGACUUAUUGCCAGUCUGUUCCUUCCUGAAUAAUCCCCUGAUAGACCUUGUUUUAUUGGAAGCAUUGGCAUGCCAUAUUUUCCUUUGGUGGUCGAUUUCUUUUUCCUGCAAUGUCAUGCAUACUCUAAUGUGUACUUGUUCCCAGUCCCACUUGAUGAUUCCAUGGAUUGUGUUGUUUAUGACAUGUCCGAGUCCAUUUCUACUUUAUUGUGCCUCACUGCUAACUAUUAGUUUUGGACUCGAAAGAAAUUACACAUUGACCAACUGUAAGAAUUCUUCUUUACUCUAGUACUAUACUGCUGCUCAGAUAUAUACACUACGUGCCUCAACCGUGCCCCCUGAGCACUCUCAUGCCUAGACAUUUCGAUCUAAUGCGUUUUGCCAUGAUCGUCUCUCGGAAAAUGCUACGUUAAGUUGCAAAUUAUUUUGACAGAACAAAUUUCCACUGUGAUUGGCCCACUCGUGGAAAUACCAAUUUUACAAACACCUGAUUUGGUUGGUCCUUUGGGAAUAAUUUAUGGCAAAUUUGAUUUAGAUGGUCUGCUGUCACUCCGUUGGAUACUUGUUCUUGCUGAUAUGGUCUCAUAAUACACUGUUUGAUUGGUUUAUCAUGCCCAGUUGAUCUCACAGUAGUUUCUGUCUGCGAAUGCAGGAGAACGAGAGUGAGAAGAGGACCGCGGUUGGCUUGCAAGCUCUCCCAAUCUGGAAUUGGCCGACAAAUGGACAUUGUCCAUUUCCACUGUUCUCUUCUGCAGCAUCAUCAGGAUUCUCACCUACCACAGUGACAGCUGCUCUUCCUCCCCUGAAGCCACCACCUCCAACAACCCAUCAUGUUCAUUUCUCUCCCCGAGCUACAUCAAAUUACCGUUUCAUGAAUCCAAAUCAGUAACACUCCAACGAGGUGCCAAAAUGUUACACACAUGAACCAUCUUUAGGGCAGGGCAGGUCCCGGGGGGGGGGGGGGGGGGGCGGUAGCCAGUCGCAAAGAAGUAAUACUUGGUGAACCAUCGUGUGGUCUACCCCUGUAUCAUUUUAUCGUGUUCUUCAGGUUCUUUCCUCUUCACCGCGGAGCUAGAACAGUCGAACUUUAUUCUGGGCUUUCGGUCAUCCCUUCGUCUACAUGUACUGUUCAUGAUCCGCACUAGUAAGUUCUUCUGAAACCGUGAAAUGUGGUUCAAAAUCAUUUUGACUGUCUUGUUUCUUUGGUGAGUAUACAUUUAAGUGCAACAACGGAUCCUUCAUGUGGAUAUAUAGUACAUCUCCGGAUCUGUUGCUAAUCUCCUUAGUGUUGAUAGCCCAAUCACCCGGUCUCUCAUUUGCUUCCGUGCGUGACUCUUGAGAAUGAUGCGAUAAGGAGAAGACGGGUAGUGGUUGACUUGCUGUCUCAAUGAAGGUAGGCUUGGCGACGCAUGAAUCACGUGUACGCUCCUCCACCAAGUCUUCUUAUUUGCCCAUCAAAUGCUACGACUUUUGACUUCAAAUUUUCGAGCCUGGAAUGAUUCAGGUCGCGAGUCCCAAGUUUUCUGAUAAUAUCUCCUAUCCAUAAAACAGAGUGCAAACGUCUAACGAGUCUAAAUUAAGAUCAUAUCUUAUUAUUGUCAGAGUGAAAGAAGGACCACCUCAGUCUGACCAGACCACGCUUAUAAAAAAAGAAUAUUUUUUUUGAAUAAUAUUAAACAAUAUUGUAGUUAUUAUCGUUAAUUAUUUCAGAUUGACCACUUCUCAGAUCAGCGUAUACAAAAACAAUUUCCAUAGACCGUCUCGUGGCAAGAGCCGAUCUUGUUGGUCUCUUACCACUCUUCAUCUAUAGUUAGGCAGUCUUGGGGGCGAAGGCCGAAACUGUGGGCGAUAGGCUUUUGCGUAUACAAUAUGUCGCCAGGUUUCCUUCUCUGUAACCUCAGCUGCAGCUGCAGCUGCAGAGGAUAGAUUGCAUGAUCUUCUUUCAAGGAAUCAGAAGGUUGCCGUCGCAUUCACACAUGAAUUCGCUUCUGUCACCUUCUUAGCCAUCGUCUUCUUCAUAACCCUCAUUUUCCUCCUCCUUUCCCAGUUGGAAGCAAGCAAAGAGUGAGUAUAUAUUCUCAGAAACCAGAAUGAUGGACAGCGGAGGAAGAGCAAAAGACACAGUAGCAUAGCAGCUGAGCUGACUCUAUUCCAGUGACAGAGACCUAAUUUACAGAGCUCCACUCAUCUAACGCAAACACUCAUCUUGGUUUGUUCCUAUAUUACAGAGCAGGAGGAAGCAGCUACGGGAAUCGAAGGAGUUCCAAUCAGAUGGAAGGAACAGAUGCCAAGCAACCAUACAAGUAUUAGCCAGAUGCACGAGGACGCGUCGAUGUCGCAGCUCCGCCUUCCCGUUCACCGCUCCCAGAUAUGCUCCCCUUCCAGGUGGAGUAGAUGGCGGAGGUCAUGGAAGACCAUGAAUCCUUCAGUUCCGUAGCGAUCUGCUUCUUGAUGCUGCCCCUUGGUGGUGGGCACAAGUUCCCUCUUCCCCUCCUCUCCUGCUUGCCGGCGUCUUGGUGGCUCUUCAUCUCUUCCGUAACAGAGAGAGAGAGAGAGAGAGAGAGAGAGAGUGCGCGUUGUCGCUGGAGCGAUAGGCAACCGGAUAUAUAGAGGUGUGUCAGAAGAGUAGCCGACAUACGUCAUUGAAACGUGUGUUAGUAUUAGGAAAAAUAUUGUUAAAAAAAUAAAUUAUGAUAAAAUUAUGAUUUUUAAAUUAUAAAAAUUAUGAUAUUAUCAUAAAUCUAUCAAUAAUAAAGAUAAUGAUCUCAACAUGAUUUGAUGAAAUAAUUUAGAUAAAUAUUUUAUAUUAUAAAAAUAUAUAAUUAUCAUAAUAUCUUUUUGUGGAUAUAAAUUCAUACCUAAUAUUCAUAAA